GCUUGUGCUUGUGUUUUCUUUUCAUCUUGUGUUUUCCAGGAGCUGGUGCUGGGGAAGGCACUAAUGAUGGUGAGGGGGCUGGUGGUGGAAUAGCUGGUGCUGGCACAGGUGCCGGUGGUGGUGUUGCUGGUGCGGGUGCAGGUACUUCCUUAGCUGGAGCUGGUGCUGGUGGUGGUGUUGCUGGAGCUGGUGCUGGAGACACUUGUGGUGGCGGUGUAGCUGGUGGUGGUAUUGGAGUGGCAGCUGGAGAACUUUGUGGUGGUUGUGGUGGUGGAACUACUGGGGUGGUAGCUGGUGCGACUUUAGGAGAUGGUGAUGAUAUAGGAGUGGUUGCAGUUGGGGGUGUCACUGCACUUGCUGGUGAUUGUGUUGGAGUGGUUGGUGUGGUUGUGGGUGGAGGUGUGGUGGUUGUAGGUGUUGAUGGCGAAACAGCUGGUGUUUGGGCAUCAGUAAUAGCUAGUGGGAAACUCAGACAUGCCAAGAUGAGAGCCCAAAGCACCGAAGCCAUUUAGUUGUGAUGAGAAUCAACAGGAAGACGUAACAUUGUUAUAUAGAGUUAUGGAAAGGCUUUUAAAUUUAGUAAAUGUUUGGUGGAAUGUUAAGAGGGAGAGAUGUUGUCUUCAUUUGAAUGCGACAUCCCUUCUAAUGAUCUGGAGUGAUGUCGUAUUCGGACAGCUCUGCAAUUGGCUGGUCCUAUCAACCAAGAUUUGGGGCCUAAAAUUGAGAAAUCUUGCUGAAGAAAAAAGAUGUACUGCUUUAAGUUUUAGCUAUAUGGAUGCAGUUAUUUGUGUUGAUAGGAUUGUCAAUGGUUGUGCUGUGUUUGAUUUUUUGCUGUGCAUUUUCAACUCAUUUAGAACCGAGCACGAAGAGUGAAGGCUCUGGAGUUUCUUUUUCUUCAAGGUGGAAUGUCGUAAUUAGGCAAUAUGUGUUUGCUUUUUACUAGAAUCUUGAAACUAACAAAAACUUGAAUCACGAGUUUAUAUUUUAUGAUCAUAAUUUCCGCAAUCAUCGAUAUGUUGUGGUAAAUAUGGCAAAAUGGCUGGACAAGUGAUGGAGUGAAAUGAGAGGGAGGCAAUGCAGCCGGCAAUCCGGGCUAACCUUUCACCUACUCAGCAGAGACCACGAUGUCGAUCCUAACACAACCUAAACAUUGGUAAGCAGUCCCUGUCCGAUUUAAGGAAAGAAAGGUCAGGUUCCCUUUUCUUCCUUUCUUUUUUUGUUGGUGUUUAAUAUUAUAGUGCAUGGUAUUUUAAAAAAAAUAUUUUUAACUUGAAAAUAUACUAAAAUUAUUUUUUUCCAGAUUUUUAUUUUUAAUAUCAUCAAAACCAUUGGAAAAUACAAAAAAUAUCAAUUUAAUAUUUUUUAAAAUUAAGUACAUCCAAAUACAAUUUCAAAUACGGAAACAAAUUGUGCCUACUCAGUUAAGGACUUUUGUUAGUUCACGGAGCACUCUCCGAUCGAGUUUGGAAAGUCGUAAUCAAAUGCAUAAUGCCCAACGCAGGAGCUGAUAAUUGUCAUACCCACAAGUUCAGGCUUGAGACCAUCUGUUGCCAGAUUCUAACCACCCACAAUUGGGAAAGCAAAUUGUAUCAAAUUAUCAACUUUCAUAACUUGGGGCUGUUCUGCCAACCUGACGAUAUCCACCAGUCUCUGCCAACGAAACCCCCCCCCCCCUUUUUUUUUUUUUUUCCACAACGGACAUACAAAAUUUCUGCAGUUACAAUUACAGAUUAUAACUCAAAAGGGUUUACACUUUACAGUGGUUUGCCACAGCUGAUCUAUGACAAUUGCUACCGCAGGCCCACAUGGAAUCAAGAUAUCUGGGCCCUGAGGACUGAUAUCUGUGACUAUUUUCAAUGAUAUGAUUAUCUCUCAAUGUUAAUAAAAGGUUUUAUUCCCAAGUCAUUUUUCACCUUUAGACGUGGCGAUUUGAAGUUUGUUGGAUUUCAUAUUCUCAUAAAGACACCGAAUAUAUAUUCAAUUGGAUUGAAAGAUAAUACAGUUUCCAGAACGUUUUUUAUUAACUUACUUGAUGGUGUUCUACCAUCUCUUACAAACAGAACAUGGCAUGGAAGAUAUCUUGCAUCUUACCGAGGAUUUUAGAUUGUGGGUUUGUUAUGGGAAGACAUGAAGGUUGAGGAGGGGAAUCUUCUUUCUUCUCCUUUUUCCUUCUCCUAAGCUGGAAAAAUUGCUGCAUUACAUCUGCACACUCCAAUUCCAAUAUUCCUCGCCGGAUUGCCAUCUUUGGAUGGAAAGGAUGGACUGGAGCGGCUGGCUUAUCUGCCAGUUCUGAGCCAUUUCCAUCUCGUCCAUCAGGAAAAAGCCUGCAAGGAUUGUCACACAGGAAACUUUUGGGAAUCAUAAGCCUCGGAAAUUUCUGUUAUGAGUCGGCUGAAUGCCUGAUCAACUUGAAUCUAACUAGCGUGUGAAUGGUGGUUUGUUCUAUCCUCUAUACCACCAACCACCCCCCCCCCCCCAAUUCUAGCAGGGAUUUACUUUGUGGUGACUGGAACAAGCAGAGAUUCAUGUAAUACCAGCAGCCAUUUCAGAUAAUGGCUAUGGAAACCAAUUUAUCAUUUUCUUCCCAAUAAAAAAAAUAUAAUAAGAAAUAAAUGACUGAUUUAAUAAAUGUGCUCUAUUAAUUAUGUUUUGAUCCACGGAUGCAUUGGGAGCACUAUGAACAUUGAUGACAGAAACAGGAUAGGGGAACAAUUCAAAAGGAAGAAAAUGUGCCAAGUGUAUCUAAGUCUAAUUAUAUUGUAAUGGCAAGGCAAUGUUAACCCUUUCCCAUUGGGACAUAAUGUAUGGUCAGAUCACUUUAAUAACCAUUAACCAGUCUCAGCAUGGACGGACCAAAUAAGGCAUUUCUGUUUUGAAACGAAUUUGGCACUCAUAAUUUUUAUCAAGUAAAACACUUUAAGAACAAGGCUUUGAUUCUUCAUAAAUAAUAGUCAGAUGUACAAAAGACCAGUCUCCCAUUUCAAUGAGAUUUCAAGGAAGAUGAGCUUACCUAAUCCAGCUUCCAUCAGCUCCAAGAAGCUUAUUGGGAGCUCCCCAUACAAGAGUAUUUAUUCUUGCUUGAAGUAUUGCUCCAGCACACAUAGGACAUGGUUCAAGUGUUACAUAAAGAGUAGUCUCCUGCAAAUCAAAUCAUUAAGCCCUCGCUGUGAAUAUCAGCAGAGUUAGAACAGUUCCUUGAAAAGUGAUUUCCACUUUGAAAGUCAGCUUUCAUUUGAUAAGAUAUAAUUUUCUUAGUAUCUUUUCCUUUCGUAUGUAAAACUUAGUCAUUGAAGAGGUUAAAACAGUUUGAUAAUGACUAAACUAGUUAAGAGUGAAUGCAUUAAUUAAUAAUUAUAGUUUCUUUAUGACAUUGAUUAUUUCAAAAGAAUCGAGGGAGUAAAUAAAAGCUUUCAAAACAAAGAGAAAGUACCGAAAGCCUCCAUGACCGGAGUUGAUUUGAUGCCUCCCUAAUGCAAAUCAUUUCUGCAUGGGCGGUGGAGUCUCGUAACUCCUCCACUCUGAAAUAUAAAUCUCCACAUAAAACCCCAAAAUAAAGAAGCACAAUAUAAGGUUUUAAUCACAAGUGCAUACAACUUACAGGUUGUAGCCACGAGCAAUAAUCUUCCCAUGAUGCACCAUCACGGCCCCAACAGGCACCUCCCAAGAAUCGGCAGCCUUCUUGGCGUCUAGCAGGGCUUCCCUCAUAAACAUUUCAUCAAUUUUCCGCUGCUCACUUUCACAUAAAUAAGCCUCUUCCCAUUCAUUGAAUCUGUCUCUCCCAACUUGCUCAUUUCGUUGAAGCUUCCUUUGUUUCAACUCCACACCCUUCCCCUCAGAGCCUGCUACUUCAAUUAACUUUUCACUAUCAGGUCGCUCCAUAAGCUCCAUUGAGCCACUAACAGAAAUAUUAUUUUUAGCAGCACCAAAACUUUCUUCCACAAUGGGACCACUUGUGCUAGAAGGCGGCGAUAAAACUAGUGAUGAUUCCCCUACUUCCAUGCUAGAUGUAGCAACUUGAGAAUUGUUCCUAUCUUGACUACAACCAAGGUUUUCCUCUUCAGAAGGUGAGGAAAUACCUUUUGACGUGAACCCAAUUUUUAAUGUAAUUGAAGGAGAUGAAGUGUCUCCUUCAAGCGGUCUUAUUACGUUCUUUGAUCCAAAUGUGUCAGAUGCUUUUACCUCAUCUGGACUAGAAGUCUGUGUUAGUUGCAGCUGGUGAGAAGAGGCAGCUUCCUUAGGCAUACUUUUUCUUUCCCUUUUCAGAUUCUUAUCACUGAUUUCAUCAGGUUCAUGGCCAGAAAACCAUGCUUCACUAGUAACAGAAUCAUUUGACAAACUCUUUCCACCUGAUCUUCGAGUUGAUUUAGGGGUUUCAGCAUGUGAACCCCAGCGCAGUCGUACUAUAUUUGAGAUGAUAUUCCACAUGGACCUUCCAGUUCUCCUAACAACAAUACUCUUGAUUGCUGUGCUACCUGCUGGUGCUUCUGUCUCUGGAGGUUCCUGAACAGACGGGUUUGUUACAUUCCACAUUUCAUCUGAAGGACCCUUCUCUCCAGAGUCCCCAGAUGAUUGCAUUGAGUCCUGCCUCUUCAACUGUAAGUCUUUAGUAUCAUAUUGACUUGAACUCUUUCGCCUCUGCUUCUCAACUUCAUAUGCCAACUUUGUAUCAGAAACUGUCUUCUCCUUUUGGAUUUCAGAAGUUGACACUUCAUGCCUAGCUUUCUCAACAAACUCUCCAACAAACUGCAUUGAUGACGCCUCUAAACGAUGAGCUGAACCAAGAGCAUCUUCAGUCAAGGUAAGAUUUGAAGCCUCCCCAUAUAUCUCAUCUUUCUUAUUUCCACCAUAUUUUUCCUGCUGGAAAACUGCAGUUCUCCUUCCAGAAUUUCUAUACAGAGUACUAGAGCCACAUUCCAAAGAUUCUCUGGAAUCCUCUUGAUUUGCGAUCCCACCAGAUGAAUUAAUAUGAAAUGAACCUCGAUCUAACAAUUGAGGUGAGGGAAGCAUCGUUAUUGUCUGUGAUGUUCUUUCAUUCCCCUCCCCCACAUCAACCUGUUGAAUUCCAACUUUGGAAACCAUAUUUGCAGAUGCUUGAGAAUCAAAGGCCUCCUGUGAAGUUGUUUCAUGAAGCCUUAAUUUGUUAGUAGCCCUACAAACCUCACUUGAAGAUUUGGACUGAGUGAGAUUUUGCUCAAUUUUAUCGUCUCUCUCCCUUGUCUCGCAAAUGGCUUUCACAGCUGAUGUCAAUUCAUUUUCUUGAUCAAAAACUCUCUUUCCAGAAGUUCUGCCAAAAUUGGUGACCAUUGUCAUAUCGCUUGCAUGGACCAGUGACACAUUGGUGAAAUCCAGAGAUAUAUUGGUGGCAUCUCCAGAUACCUUGCUGGAUUCAGUUCCCUGAAGAGCUUUUUGAUCUGUGUGCGACUGGUGCUCUUUUGCUUCGGUACCUGAUCUAGAAACAACACUUUUACUUACCUCCUGCUGCUUCAUUCUAGUUUCUGAUAGUAGAAUCGAAGUCUUUUUGUUACUACUGUCAUGAACUUCUGAUAUUUUAGAUAACUGUUGUGAACUUCUUCUUGACUGAACCUGUCCACUUGUCUGCCCACCCAUUUGGAAUUUUUGCUCAUUUGUCUCAUAAAAUGAUCCUAGAGCUCUAUCUUCUACCAGAAUCUUCAUUCUAGACUCAGAUUGCCUCUGCAAAUUUGAAACUCUUUCAGUACUGGCAUUCUCAGUUGUUGAUGUGUCAAUGAGUUGGUGAGUGGCUCUUCUUAUAUUGUUUUUUGCAGCAGUUUCACCAACUCUUUUAUAACGUUCAUCCCUUCCUUCCCAAACCAAAUUUGCAUCCACUAGAUUUUCUUCUCUACCACUGAACCGCUUCUGGGAUUGGGAAGCUUUUUCAACAUUUAUUCCACUCCUCUCCUGUUUAUUGGUAAUUUCCUGGUAACUUCUUCUGAAUUCAGAUUGCUCUUUGACUUGAUCCCCCAUCUGACAAUAUCGCUUUCUUGUUUCUUUCUCCAAAUUAACCGCCAAACUUUUCUCAUCCUCAUUGCCAAUCUGGUUAUGAGAACUUGAUACCUUCCUGUAAUCACUUUCAUGGUUUCUCGCCAUUCUUGAUUGCAUUUGUGAGGAUUCUCUUUCUGAUUGUGUUUCUUCAAUCUCAGUAAGUUUCUUCUCAGAUUUCUUCCUCGGAUCCCACUCAACACCAGUCCUUCUUGCACUAGUUCUCGCUUCCAGAACCUCCCCCUUCCACUCUGUGCCAUCUCUAUGCCUCCUAAACUCUUCCACAACUUGCCCCUCUGAUCUACCCUCUCCACUUCUUAAUUCCUUCCUGUAUCCACUUGAUGAUUCUUUGGGACAAUCAACAUAUUCAUCCAGAGAUUCCGUGUCACUCUCAAUAUCUCCUGCAGAAGAAAGUGAAUAAAAUGACGAAAAACUAGAGCUCACUCUCCUUCCCCUGUGAUUCUCCCCUUUUGAAACCGCUUUCUUUUCUUCCUUUUCUUUCUGGUCUUCCAUCUCUUCCUUCCUCAACUCAACUUUAGCUGACUCAAAUUCACAUUUUGCAUCACCCUCCAAUGAACUGAGCCCAACAUUCUUCUUCCUCCUCCUCCCCUUGCGAGUUCCGCCACUGUGAUUCCCCCUCUUCACCAUUUCCACUCUCUUCGACAAACCCCAAUAUCUCUCCCCGUCACCUAAACACUGUCCACUCACUUCCUCGCUCAACAAACUAAUCACAGUCUCUGCAUCAUUAACCCCACUAAAACAUCGCCUUCCGCGCAAUCUUACCCCCCCAAUCCCUCCCUUCCUUCUCCUAAGAAUUUUCUCACUCCCAUUAUUCUCCUUAAAACAACAACCAUGAUCAACACCAUAAUCCGGGACGCGGUAAUAAUCCCUACCCAUCCCACCCAAGAUCAACCUUCUAGAAGCUGAACAUUGAAUAAGACUAGCUUGCCUCAACCCAAAAAAAAAACCUGGGUUUAUUGGCACUCUAUGUAAAGUAGCAGUAGUAGUGAAUGAUGACGAUGCACAACAAGAACAAGAAAAGCAACAACAAGAACCACAUGAUGAAGAACAAGAUUGUAAUAAAAAUGGGUUUCCUUCAUUUAAUGAGUUAGAGUAUUCAUUGAAAGAAAAUGAAAGUGGCCCUUUCGUUCCAAGAGACAAAGAAGCUAAGCUAAUGUAAGUGUUGGGCAUCUUUUCUUUUCCAAUGUUAUAGAGAGAGGCUUACCUUAAUGGAUUUUGUGGAGUUUUUUAAGCUGAAACUGGGAGUGAAACCAUGUGAGGUGUUCUGUUUUGGAACUGGUUUCAUGAUUUCUACUUUCGGUUGAGAGAGAGCUAGUGAUUUUGAAUCCGAUGAGUUGACUCUCUCUGGGUUGGCUUAACUCGGUCGCCUAUACAGAGUGAAACAAACUGGGCUGCUGGCUUUUCAUGUGGUUGCACUUAACCAAACACUACUGGGCCUUCAAUGUAAUACUAAUUGGGCUCUGAUCUAAAAUUGUCUUCUUAAGAAGUCCAAUCCAUCCAGCCCACUAUAAAGACUGAGUUUUUGUGCUUUUACUUGCCGAAUUAAAGUCUCUUUUAUUAACUAGUAAUCAUUAUUGAUCGGCGCUAUUCCGGGUCAAUUUAAAAUUUUAUUAAUAUAUAAAAAAAAUAUUUAUUGUUAAUAUUUUUCUAGUAUAAAAAAAUUAACUGUGUGGAGGUUAAUUUGAUAUAUCCUGAUCACCUUGAUGGAUCUAAAAACAAUCGAAACAACGUAAAAAUAUAGUUUGAUUCAUAAAAAAUCAAGAAAAUAUUUUUAAAAAAAUAAUAUUGAAAUAAAAAUAUAUUGGAUCAAUCCGGGUCAACCCGAGUUAACCCCAUAUAAAGCAAAUCAAAAUAAAUUAUGAAAUUUAAUUCUCAAUCAACCCAAUGUUGAAGAAUGAAAUUGAAAAAAACUAAUAAAAAAAUAAUUGAAUUAACCUAUCAAACUCGUGACCCGGAUUAUGAGAUUAUGAUAACCUUAUAAAAAGUAAACAAAAAAAUGAUAUAGGUCAAUUUAGAUUAAUUUUUCAAACUCGCAACUAAAGUCAUGAGACUCGAAUAACUCCAUAAAAAGUAAAUCAAAAUAAAUUAUGAAUCUCGGUUUUUAAUAAAUCUAAUAUCAAAGGUUAAAAAUGAAAAAAAAACAAUUUAAAAACAUAACACGAUAAAACAACGUGAGUUGCAUGGGAUAACCCGCAAAACAUAUUACCUGAAUCAUAAGAUCAAGAUAACCUUAUAGAAAGCAAACUAAAAUAAAACAUAAAGUCUAAUUCAUAAUCAACCUAAUAUUAAAAGAUGAAAUAGAAAAAAAAUAUCAAUUAAAAAAUAUAAAAAAAAUACUCGAGUCAACUAGAUUAACUCGUCAAACUCAUGACUUAAGUCAUGAGACCGAUAUAACCUUGUAGAAAAUAAACCAAGAUAAAUCAUGAAGCCUAACAUCCAAUCAACUCAAUGAUAAAUGAUUAAAUUGAAGAAAAAUAUCAAUUAAAAAACAAAACUCGAGUCAACCCGUCAAACUCGUGACACGGGUUAUGAAACCAAGCUAACAACGUAUAAAGCAAACCAAAAUAAAUUGUGAAGCAUAAUCUUUAAUAAACUAAAUAUUAAAGUAUGGAAUUAGAAAGAAAAAUAGAUUUAGAAAGAAAAAAAAACUAUUAAAAUGAAUAGUAUUUUAUAAUACAGUGUAUAAUAAAUACACAAUCUCUCUUAAUUUAUACUAUAUUAAUUUUAUAUAAGUUAGAAAAAGUUUAUAAUACUCCAGGAUUAACUAACGAUGGCUACACUAUCAAUCCUCCUUAAAGAUACAGACAAGUAAAUAAACAAAAGAGAUAUGUUUAUUAAAAAAUUAUUUAUUAAAAUAUUUAUUUAGAGUUUAAUUGGAGAUGAUAAUGUAAAAAGAAACUCACUUAUGAAAUGAAUCAACAUCCAAUUAUGAAAAGUUAUGCUGCUUGCAAAAUAAAUUACAAGAUUGUGUACGUACUCUUGUUAUUUUAAUUAUACAUGGGAUUUAGAUAAUAAUAUCAUUUAGAGGAUAAAAAUAAUGAUUUUGAUGAUUUAUCGUAGUAGUAGAUUAAUACUAUACAUGUGUUACGAGAAUAUACUCGAUGAUGUUUUCUUAAGAUAAAAACAUAAAAUCUCAAUGGCUUUUAAUUUUUUUUAUUUUAAAUUAAUAUGUUUUUAAAUUAUUUAAUAUACUCGAUGAUGUUUUCUUAAGAUAAAAACAUAAAAUCUCAAUGGCUUUUAAUUUUUUUUAUUUUAAAUUUAAUGUUUUUAAAUUAUUUUGAUAUAUUGAUAUAAAAAAUAACUUUUUAAAAGUAAAAAAUAUUAUUUUAAUAUGUAUUUUAAUAUAUUUUAAAAUAAAAAAUACUUUAAAAAACAACUACAAUCAUAUUUCUAAAUUUUAACAACGGAACUGUUUUUUUAAAAAAUAUAGUCCUGUACAGUACUGGCAAUCUAGAUAUAAAUUAAAUAAAUAUUUAAUCGAUUGAUUAUUCAUCACUGGAUACCUAAUUUCUCUGUGCCUAAUAAAAAGUCAGCAAUUCUGUUUGAUAACUUCAAAUCAAGCAUGGUGCCGGCCGGCCCGUGGAAAAAAUCAUGCAUGGUGGCUAUGGCUAACAAGCACCUUCAAAGUAGAUUCUCUCUUAAAUCCCAAUUCAGAGCACUCACAAUUGACAUAAUUCAUUAAUUAUUAUUCAUUUGUCCGUGGAAACGCAGUAUACGUUGCCAAAAAAGACUCAGUUUAUCAUUUUUUAAUUAAGAUGAUCAGCUAGUGGCAACCCUUUAUUCUGGUGAUUAUGUUUUGAUUUUGUAGAUUGAUUAAACUCUUGACUUGGACAAAAGUUAUGGAUAUAUUUGGUUAUAAACAAUGUUUAGCUUAUUUUAAAAAUCAUUAUAAAAUUAAAUUAAAACUCUACUUUAAUAUUAGUUCUCAAUCUUAACUUGUACUAUUUUUCUUUAGCCAAAUAGACGUUUCGAGUCAAAAAGAUUCAUCAACCAUGUUUUUAACUUGAUUAUUUAUAAGUUAUUCAUAAAAAAUAAUUAAAUAAAUAAUAUUAAUUCGCGAUUAGAAUCAUAACAAUUGAAAAAAAUACGAGACUAAAUUAAAACCUCAGUAAACCUAAAUGAUGAAAUUGCUGUUAAUGGCAGUGUACACUUGUCGGAACUUAGCUGUGUUGCGCAUAAAAUAUUAAUUUAAACAUCUCUAAAUUGAGAGCUGUUGCAGCUGUUCUUCUUUUUCCGCACGGUCCUCUUCAUUAAGGCACAUCUUAAGGUCUCAGCUAAUCUCUUAUAUUCGUCAAAAGAAGAUUAAUUAGCUCCUACAAUUAAUUAAUGAAGCCCUGGCAUAAAUAACAUGUAUUUUUCUUUUUAGUACAAAGACAUGAAUUUCACGUGGCACAAAUAGUUUUACGACACAUCAGUCAACAUGCUUUUUUUUAUUAAGAAAUCAAAAGGCAGACUCGAACCUGUAUGCAUGCAUGCAUGCAUGUAUGUAUGUAUGAGUGAGUGAGUAACAACAACAUUAUUAAUGAUAGUAUAAAUUAAGUAGAUAUACUAUUUGAAUGAUAAAAUCAAUUAAUCCAAGGAUCAGGGGGUUACAAUGGCUUGAAAUCUCAGGCGUUGACGCGUUCGUAUGAAUAAUUGAGUACAGGUCCUCAAAAUUCUUCAGUCCUCUUCGACGUCUUCAUUAUUCCUUGGCCAGCAUUACGUAUAGUAAUAAAACUCAUAAUAUACAGAACCCUCACACACACAUAAUGUAUAUAAAAUCUCCUGGGAGGGCAUGUGUAAGUCUUGGUGGCUAAACUGGCUGGAUCUUUCUGUAUUUGUUGCUUUUGAUUAAUGAAGAAUUCUAGUUUAUCUAUAAAAAAAGACUAACUGUAGAAGCUCUGGGCCUGAAAUGUUUUAAUAUACACUCCAACUUGUUGGACGAACGCGUUUCAGGAUGCCUCCCAUUCCAAUUUUGAUUCUUUUAUUUUUGUAAAAAACAAGAGGUUUUUUAUUGGGAUAAUAAUCACAGCUAUAUAUAUAUAUAUAUAUAUAUAUAUAUAUAUAUAUAUAUAUAUAUAUAUAUAUAUAUAUAUUCACACACACACGUUCUGAUGUUUUGUAUUUUGAAAUUAACCUCAAUCAUGAUCGAUGAAAGCAAGAUCAGUUUAAUUUUCCUUAGCAACUGCCGCGCGCAUCAGCUGGAAUAUUUGUGAUUGGGAUUUUAUCUCUGAUGUAUUGGAGAUUAUUAGAGAAUAAUAAAGAUUAUGUAUUUGAAUUUUAUUUAAUAAUUUAAGUAUUUAGAUUGAAUUAGUUUUUGAUAUGAUAUAAAAUUUCUAUUUAAGUUUUUAAAUUAAAUUUUACUUCAAAAGAAAAGAAAUAAAAAUGAGGAGGAGGAACUUAACUCAUCUGAACGAAGUCCCCCGCCAUGAUCAGUAGCCUUUGGCGGGUGUCAUUUGAUGUUGAAAGCGGCUUCAUUCAUGUGAAAUUCCUUUCACCAACUUUCAUGUGGUGGUAUUAAACAUUAGUAUUAUCUACGACUACUAGUAAUAGGCAACGUCGUGGAGAAAGAUUGACAAAGAAGUGAGCCCUUUUCACUGUUAAAUCAUCCAAUAUAAAGUAUUCCUUGUUGUGUUUAAGUUGAAAUUGGUGUGAUAUUGUUGGUUUUUCUUAGCUCUGUGACGCUAUGGCUUUGAUAAAUUUACCCUAAAUAUUGAUACCCCCUUCAUUGCCUUGCAGGGAUAUUAAUUAAACCAGAAAAAAAACACACCUUAUAUGCACCCACGAUCCAGUGACGAAGCUAUAAUUUUAAUAGAAGGUGACAAUAGUCGCGAAGGGAGAAAGAAUAAUCCAUCACUAUAGUUUUUUUUAAUGAUAAUAUUCCAUUAAUAUUUCCAGAGAUAUAUAGUAUUAUUUAAAAUAAAUAAGUAGCAACAAAACAACAUUGUGGUCAACAGUAUCAUUAAUAGAAAAUAUAUAUAUAUAUCAAACAUUCCCAAAACAAUUUUUAUAAAUUAUAAAAAUCAUUUUAAAGCUCCAUUACACAAUCGAUAGGUUUCUAAUUGACAAUUAGCGAUCUUUCUCAAUUGCAUAAAGUAUAAAUAUAAAAGUAAGAACGAAAUAUUCCAAAAAUCAUUGAAUACAUUAAUUUACCAGUUAUACACCAUUAAUUCUUGUUAAUUUUCAUUUGAUAACGAAAUAUAUUUAAAGAAAAUUUGGCUGAUUGAUAUUCUCAAGAUGCAUGAAACUAAGUCAUUGGUCACGAGUUCACCGAGUCAAUAUAUAAAUAAAAAUUAUUAUUAGUAUAAUUUUAAAAUUCAACUCGAGAUAAGGUUCAAAUCAUGAAUUGGAUGAAUCAUCCCAGCUGAUCCAAAUUUAAUUUUAAGAGUAAUCAAAACAAAAUUAUUUUAACUAAAAAUAAUUUUUAAAAAAAUUAAUAAUUUUUUUAUUGGUUCAAGCAUGGUCAAUCAUUUCUCUAUUUCUUCUUAAACUCUAUAUAUUAAUGGUAAAAUAUAAUUUUUUUAUAUUUUAUUUUGUUUUGUUUACAAUAUCUAAACAUGAUAUAAAAAUAAUUAUUUUAUUAUGUACAUUAUUAUCAAAUAUAUUUUUAUAUAUUUUUUUUAUCUUAUCUCUAUUGUUUUUAUAUUGUUUUCGUAUUUUAUGUCCUGUGCCAAACGCUUCCAUAAUAUACCACAUGCUUGCCAGAUAAAAAGCCCCAAGGCACCACUGCCGAACACCUGGGAUCAGGGCGGCGAUGGCUAGACUUCUUAUUUGUCUGUCAUAUAUUUCGUUGCCCCAGACUCGGAUAAUGUUAGUCCUUUUAAAAGAGCCAUAGAAAUGGGUUGUGCAUGGAUCCAUGUUAGUAGCGGUGAUUAUUUUUUGUUCGGUUUGGUUUUUAUUAAAAAAAAUAAUUAAAUCAAAACUGGUUCAAACCGACCAGUUUCGGUUCAGUUUUUUAGGACAAAAACCGGUUCAAACUGGUUUGGCUCGGUUUUUCUGAUUUGGCUCAGUUUUUCCGGUUUGGCUCAGUUCGGUUUUUUCGGUUUCGGGCUUAUAAAACCAAAACCGAACCGAUCGGCUUUUUCAAAAUUUUAAUCGGUUUUUUUUACGGUUCGGUUUUUUCAAUUAUUUUUUUUUAGUUUUCUCGAUUUAAUUGAUUUUUCAGGUUUUUUACUUAUCCCUGAAUAUUAGCACCAUAUACAUUCGAAUAAUUGAUUGAUAAAUACAUAGUCCCUUUUAAUCAUUGCAUUUUUUAUUUUCAGGCUCGUCGUUGUCUUUCUAGAUAAUUCUGUCAGGCUCCCAAAUGAGACGGUAAUCUAAUAUAUUUCCCAGAAACUGUUGUCACAGUACUCCAAUGACCAUACGAGCACAAUUUCUAUGUAGAGUUUUGUACGUCGUACAUGACAAUCUAGAAUAGUUGACUAGUCCAAGUUUGAUGACAAGUCAAGGUCCAAGGAUGAAGAUAACCUUUCUUCCAGUUAACUAUCAACACGUUCAAUAUAGACGCUUAACGACGACCAUUUCAAAAAACAUGUAUGGACUUCUUCAUGUGAACAAAAAAAUGGCAUGAUUUGGUAUCUAUUCAACAAACUAAUUAAUUCGCCCCGGAUAAUUAUAGCACAGAAAGGUUUUAGCUUGAGUGAUGUAAAUCCAAAAGGAUCGAAGGACCAAGUCAUGAAUCAGUGAUGAAUUUAGAUUUAACAACAAAAAAUCUUUAUAGAUGAUGAAAUUGGGUCUUAGUUUAUAGUAUAAUAUAUGCUAAGCUCAGUUAUGUGUUUCGUUGCCAGCCGGAUCAAAAUCCAUGUUGCUAUCGUUUCAACCUAUACUUAACCCUAACUCAAAUGUAAAAUAAUAAAUUUGUCAAAUCAUAAAAUAGCAAAAAAUCCAAGAAGUGAAAUGAAAAUAUAGCAACACAUUGAAUUGCUCCGUGUUAACUUGUGAAAUUGACAACUCAAGUAAUGAACACAAUCAUAGUGACUUAACCCGAUUAGCCAACCUUCCUCUUUUUUUUCCUACCCUAUCCUUUUCAUGGUUAGGCUUUGAUCGAAUCUCAAUUGACCUUAGGUUCGAUUAAAGAAUGAAGACAAAGUAUAAGAAAUAGAUAAAUGAUGAACUCAAAAAAUAUUAGCUUAAAAAAAGAAGGAAAAAAGCAAAAUCAAACGAAUCUCCUAAACUUUGAUUAAUCUUCUAAACUCGCAACUCAUGAAAUCUUAAGACCAAGUUCAAUAAAAAAACUCAAUUCCUAAUUAAUUUAAUGUUGGAAGAUGAAAUGGUAAAGACAAAUAAAAAAAUGUCAAGGUAAAAGAAAUUGCAAUAAAAAGAACGAGAAUAAAAUCAAUUAGAAAAAAAUUGGAGGAUGAAGUUAUUAAAAAACUUUAAUUCUAAAAUAUGUAAAAUAAAUAGCAAUAAAGGGAAUGAGUAUCAAUUUUAACAGAUAAAAAAAACAAAAAAGAAUGAAAUUGAAAAAAUAAAUAAAAAGUUGAAGGAUGAAAUUAAAAAAACACUAGCUUAAAAAGAGGGAGGGGGGAACCAAGCAAAUCAGGGCGCAUUCUCUAAACCUCGAUUAACCUUUCAAGUUUGCAACUUGUGGAAUCUUAAACCUUGGUUCCAAUCAGGAAAUUCAAUUCCUAAUCAAUUUAAUGUUGGAGAAUGAAAUUAUAAAAAAAAAAAUUGCCAAAGCAAAAGGAAUUUCAAUAAAAAGAAUAAGGAUUAAAUCAUAUAAGAAAAGUUUUUUGAAAGGGGGUGGAAUUGUAAGGAAAAGCUUUAAUUCUACAAAUUAUCUAAAACAAAACAAAUAGCAAUUAAGAAAAAGAGGACCAAAUCUGACAUAAAAAAUUAAAGAAAAAUGAAAUUUAACAGAAAAUAUAAUUAUAUAAACCAUCUAAAAAAAUAGUGAUAAAAAAACAAGGAUUAAGUCUUAAUGAAAAAUAAAUUGAAGGGUUACUUGAAAAAUCUAGAGUGACGUGUGAAAGUCGAGGUGAAAAGAAAAAAAAAAGAAAAAAAAAGUUUAUCGGUAUCAAAUUAGAGGUCAGAAUGCCACACAUUGUCGUGAGAGGAAGAGAUUGUCAAGACGAUUCCAACUACACUAAAGAAGUCCAUCAUUGAUUGUUAAACAUUAUUGCAUGUGUAAUUUGAAGGCGAUAAAGCAUUUGAUGCGUGUGCUAGCUAGCUUUCAAUUUUUAUUAUCAUUUUAUAUUUAUUAAAGGACUAAAUUGCCAUGUAAACAUAAUUAUAACAUAAAAACCAGGUUAGAAAAUGAAAUAACCCUGGAAAUCAAUUUAUUAGUUUUUGCUUUCAAAGGGUAUUUUUAUCAUGGUAUUAUGCUAACUAGAAGAAAAGAGAUGAGAAUGGCCUUUGAUGACGGUUUAUUAUUAUUUUUUGUUUUUUAAUGGUAAUUUAGAAUUGCAUUGUUAAAAAAACAAAAAAAGGAAAAAAAUCGAGUUGUUCCUAUUGAAUUUUGUAAUAACUAACUAUUAUGUCAAAAGAUCAAAUUAAAAAAAAAAUUACACAGUACAUAAUGAUGACAAAAAUGUUUUAGCCUUCCGUUUCGUUUUAGUUUUUUUUUAUUAUUAUUCCAUGAACAAUUGCAAACUAUUUCCCUCCCGGGCUUGAUAAAAUUAUGUAAAAUGACGUAGGUGUUAGCUCGGUAAUCGUCCACUUAGUUAAUUUCCAUGCCCAACAUGUUUAAUUGGAAUUAGUGAUUCGGUCACCGUCCACUUGGUUAAUUUCCAUGUCCAACACAGUGAUCAUUAGGUUCUCCGUUCCUUCAAUUCAUUGUCUGAUGUCUACUGAUUUUUUUUUAUUAUUAAUAUAAGUAUUCGGAUUAAUUUGCGUGUACUUCGAUUAAUCCCACGGAUCCUGAAAUUAACGACCAUGUAAGCUUCCAGUAGCCCUGAGAUUUAUGGGACUCGAACUAGUAUUUUUUCAGGAACAAACCUAGAACUUGAUUAGUUGAGCUACACCCCUCAGAUUAUCUACUGAAAUUUUUAAAUAAACAAGAAUACACUGUGAUUUUGCUGUGUCUUUAAUUUCAUUGAUCAUUAUCAUUAUCAUUUAUGAACGGGCCAAAUCCUUGGGAAGGGAAAACUGAUAAUAUGGUAUUGUUUGAAGAAAUAAUUUAUCUACAAAUGGGUCAAUUUUUAUUAUAAAAUACAUCCACAUAUAUAUAAUUUGAAUAAAGAGUCUUUUAUCCAACUCAAACAAAUAUUCUACCUGAUGCUGAAAUCGUUUUAAUAUUUUUAUGGAGUGAAUGAUUUAUUCCAUCUUAUAUAUGAACUUGUAGAACAAUUUAAGGGCUUUGACCGUAUAAAUACAAAUAAAAUUAAUUUUUAAAAAAAUCAAGGACCAGAAUAUAUACAAUUCUGUCAUCCACAUUGGUGGACCUAAUUAAACAAAAAUUCGUCCAACAUUUGGAAUGAAACCUUACAAGAAUAUUAUUCAAAUCCGAGGGCUGCUGCUGCUGUUCUCCCUUGUCUCUUCUAAGACCCACCGUUGUACAUAGACGAAUCAUAUGGAGUGCACAGAUUAAUUGAUUGAUUCCAGUUAUUUACCAUUAGGCAAAGCCAAGAGCUACGUGACUGCGAACAAGAUGGAGUAAUGCAGAAGAGUAAGAUUUGAGCUAUUUGGUAAUUUACGAGUGGUCAAGUCAUUUUCGUAAUCCUGGAAAAUAGAGGGUAAAUCCCACCUAUAUAUUACGAAUGGUCACAAUUAUUUUAUUUUCAUAAAUAGUAGCCUCAUUUAUUUGUUUUUUUAAUCACUAAAUCCAAUGAGAUUGAAUUCUAUGACAAGAGCAGCCUUCACCAUUCCUAAACCCCACCUCCAUCCACUGAACUUAAAACUUUCCAUUGAAAACCCUAAAUCUUAAUUACCUUCAGGGAUGUUGCUCGAGGAUCUGACAACAACCCUAGAUCACGAGCAAUCCAAAAUUACUAUCAUGAUUUUUUACCGUGUUUGAAAUUGCAGUAAUAGUUGUUUUAAAAUAAUAUUUUUAUUAUUUUUAAAAUUUAUUUUUAAUACUAGCAAAUCAAAAUAUUUAAAAAACAUUAAAAAAAUAAUUUAAAAAAAAUCAAAAUUCUAACGAACAACAUUUUAACAACAAUGCCAAACAAACUUUUCACCUCGCAAGGGAAUCGUCUUUUCGUGCGAGAGACAAUUAAAUUGGCAUGAUACGGACAUGGAAGCAUGCACAUUCCUAGUAUCAGUUAUCAGAACAUGAUCUACGAGGAUAUGCAAAUACGCUUGUAGAGUAAAUGACAAGGCAAUGUUUCUUUCUUUCAUGGACUGCCCGUCCCAAGCGCCAAUGACUUGGAGCCCCUCUCAGCUUCUCCCUCCCUCGUUCAGAUUAUGGACACCAUUGGAUUUGCUUGGUGAGGCACUAUACUUGCUCCUUCAUUUCCUCUAACUUAAAACUGGUGUCAAGACUCGACAUGUUCUUAAUUUCCCAUCGAAGAAAAAACUCUGCUGUUACAAGAAUGGUCUUCUAUCCAGACGUCCUAGCCAAGGGGACGACGUCUACCUUUCCUUGGUUGUAAACAAUACAAGAACGAUGGGUAAUUUGAAGAUCUUAGAUCAACCCUGUCAUGGGCUCCACGCCUUUCAUUUCAAGUGGCAUUCUAGAAGAUCAGAUAGAAAUUAACAUAUUUUGAAAUUAUAACACAGAGGUUGAAUUAUAGAACUUGGUAGCUUUUUAAUUUAUUUAUAAUAAUGUAAACUACAGUUCUGAUUCCGUUCAAUAUUGAUUUUUCUUUUAAACUUUGUCAUGCAUUUAUAUUGAACUUGUUUGAUUUCCCUCUUUAAACCAGAUUCAUUUUCACACUAUAUAUGCAUGCCCACGACGAGGAAUGAUAAUACACACACACACACACACACCCCUGUUGAUCUCGUUAUGACCUGUUUUCAACUAAAGAAUCUCCACUAGCAUAAUUUUUAUUUUUUACAAGUCAAAAGGAGAAAUAAAAUAUAGAUAAAAUUUAAGAGGGGUAAUUACAAAAAAAUAAAAAAUAAAAAAUACACCAAAAAGACAUCAUUGUAGGUUCUUUCAGUACCUUUCCCAAACAAAAUCAAUGAAUUUGUUACCAGAGGUAAUUCGGUUUUUUCGCUUGUGUCUAUUUUUUAUUAUUAUAUUGAUCGAGAAUAAAUUAAUAUUUUUAUAUUUUUUUAAUUAAUAAAAUAACAUAAUUACUUUUAAAACAAAAAAAAUAUUAAAUUGGCAUCCAAUAGCUUUUUUGUCUCUCAUUUUUUAAAUAGUUAAAUAACUAAAUUAUCCUUCAAAGCAAAAAUUACUAAAUUAGUGUUCAGGGUUUCUUUUUUGUAUUUUCAUCCUUUUUUUUGUUAUAAUCAAGUUGACUAAGAAACAAUUUAGUAAUUUGAUAAAUCUAAACAUUAUUUAAAAAAGUGGUUUGCGCGUGCAUUGCACGUGUCAACAUGUAAGAUGUGGCCUCGAUAUUCGGUUAGUGUGCGAGGGGGCUUUGAAGGCCAAACGGUGGUUUAUGGGGUAGCAUCCAAAAUCUAUUGGCGGCCAUUCCAUUCCUGGACGGCACGUGUGGCAAAUAGACCUUCGGUUUGGUGUCAGCGAUCUUUUUUCUUCUUUUUUCUCUUCUCUUUGAUUUCUGUGCCCGACCCUCUGAAUUUUCAAAGCAACCCUUCAAUUUGUUUCUAUCUUUAUAUUUGGUUUCUAUUCCUUUUAUUACUAUUUAUUUUAUUUAAAAUAAUUUAUAAAAUAUAUUUUUUUAAUUUCACCCCUCUUUAAUUUUUUUAUCUGUCAGAUUUGACUCUCAUUAUUCUGAUUACUAUUUUUUUUAUUUAAGAUAAUUUUUUUUCUUCUUACAAUUUUAUCCUCUAAUUUUUUCCUAUUAAAUUUUUUCCUUAUUUUUUUUCACUUUAGCUAAUUUUUUAAAAUUGAUAUUUUUCUCAAUUUCAUACUUCAACAUUGAAUUAGUUGAAAAUUGAGUUUUUUUUAUUGAGUCUAGGUCUAAGAUUUCAUGGGUUGCGAGUUUGGAAGAUCAACCCAAAUUUAGGAGAUUCACUCGGGUUUACUUAGUCCUCCCCUUUUUUUAAGUUCAUUUUUUUUCAGUUUCAUCAUUAAACAUUUAUUUAAUUGGAGAUUGGACUCUAUUAUUAUUUUUUAUUUGAUUUCUAUAGGAUUUUUUACUGAUUUUGAAAAUAAAUCGGGUUAUCUCAGGUGUUUUUAUUUGUCGUUCUUUGUUAAAUCUUGUUUUUUUAAAAAGAAAUUUUAUUUUUUAAUUAAAUUAAAGUAAUUGAUUAAACAUAGGCGUGAGAUGCUCACUUCAUGAUAUUUUGUUUGUUUUGUUUUUUGAAUCGUUUCUCUUACAACGUGUGCUGCGUCUUUUAGCGUCGCUGAGCAUCCUAUCACAAUGGUGUUAGAACCGUCUCUGUGAGUUUUUUUCAAGUAGUGAGGUGAUGUCGAAGGUAGAGCGACAUUGAAUAUCUAAUGAGCUUUUCCUUUUCUCCUUCCAAAUACAAUAUUGAUAAUUUAUUUUUUAUAGUUAAUUAUUAUUGAUUUUUUUUUUUUUUUUAUUGUCAAGACUUAUUAAAUUCAAUCAAAUCAAUGAUUGAGAUCUUAAUUUUUUUUUAAAAAAAAAUCAGAACCGCCUGAAUAUCUAUCUUUAUAUUAUGAAAAAAUUAACUCGAUUCAUGACGCGGCGCGAGUCACCAAAAUAUUGACCAUCAUAUAGUGUAAACAAAAUAUUCAUGGCAGCAAUUCCUAAAUUAAAAAACCCUGGCAACUGAUUAAAAAAAGAAAAAUUGACCCGCGCUGCUUCUGUCGCCGUCAUGACGGCGCCAUCUGGCAAUCCAAAGUCCAAACAAGACCAUGGCUCAAAACGUUCAAUAAAGAAGCACACACCUAACGGUUGGUAUUAUAAUUAAAUUAAAACCCGAGGUUUAUUCUUAAUCCGCAUUUGAUUAUCUCUCUCUCUCGAUAUGUUUUCUUUUUUCUUUCAGACUCGAUAGAUAAUUAAAUUAAUUGGAAGACCACAUUUCCGAUUCUCUUUCUUAGUUAUUUUCUUCCUAUGUUAUCUUACCUACAUUAUCUCAUGAUGUCUUCUUCCCUGUCUCCUAGGUUUAGGCCCUGAGCUAAAAUCUCAAGUGUUUUUUUAGUCUAAUAAUAAAGUGUUUUUGAAUUAAUUUAUACAUCAAUUAAUAUUAAUUUUUAUUUUUUUUUAAUUUCAAAGAUACGCACCUGCAUAACUUGGUAUAUUUAAAUAAUUUAUUUUGAAUCUAAAAAAAAACCAAUCUCAUUAACCAUUAAUGAACUCUUAAAUGUAAAAUUAGGAAUAAUGAUCUAAAAAGAAAAUGCUUGCCCCUCAAAGCAAGUAUCAAAAUCAUCUCUUAUGAAGUUUAUAAACGAAUGAAAGUUUAAAUUGUUUUUUGAAGUGUUUUUUUAUAUAAAAAUAUAUAAAAAUAAUAUUUUUUUAUUUUUUAAAAAUUAUUUUUGAUAUCAAUGCAUCAAAACAAUUUAAAAUAUAUAAAAAAAUUAAUUUUUUUUUAAAUUUAAAUUUUUACAAAACAUGAAACACAGUUUAAAUGCCAUAUUCACGGAGGAAGCACCGUUCCCGUCAUUCACCGUCAAUUCUAGUAACAGUUAUUAAUCAAUCAAUCUUACAGAUCUCAUGCAAGGCUUCCCUUCUAGAAUUACUCGCGUCACCGUAAUAAAAUUACCUUCCAAUAAAUAAUAAUAAUAAUAAUAAUAAUGAAAAAAGUCUUCAAAGUCUCGAAGCCAUCAGUCCUCGCAUAUACGGUGCUAAAUUUCCAUGGAAAAAGCAUUUUGACAAAUUCGUACAUCUAGAAGGAGCGUGUUUUCACAAUUAAUAUAAUAUUUCAUAACAAGAAGACUUGCUUUUCUUUUUGGGGGUUAAACAAGGAUAUUUCCGGAUUAAUUUUCAUUUAUCUAUAUAAUAAAAAAACAGAAUGGCGAGUGCUCCUAAAACAGGGAAGUAUUUUUUUAUAUAAACCAUCAUGUAAAGAAUAUUUCAACAAUAAAGAUAUUUUUAGGUUAGUUUUCAGCUAUCAAGAUUCAAGACUAAAUCUUUUUCGAUGAAAUUCUAAAUAAAGUAUUUCUGUUUUAAUGGACUCAAGAAGAUAUUUUCUUCAAACUUUGAAUGUCAAAGAAAAAAACCCAAAUUUCUUUAUCAUUUAACUAAAACCUUAAAAAAAUUAUAAAAAAUAAUCUUAAAUUCGUUUGAAAAUGACUUUAAAAAUAAGUUUAGUAUAAAAUUAAUACUUUUAAGAGUCUUGAAUAUUAAUAUAUCAUCAUAAAAAAACACAAAAUAAAUAAAUAAAUAAAACUAAUGCACUUCCAAUUCCACUUUUCCAAAAGCAAUAAAUGAAAAGGUAACUAUUUUCAAAGCAGCAGGGUAGCUAUUGAACCAAAGAGAAAAUAAUAAAUGAAAGAAAAUGAAGAACCAAAGAGAAAAGGUAACUAUUUUCUUUUUUUCGAAGAAAAAAGGUAACAGAGAGUUAAAUGAAAAGAGAAAAAACGAAAGGUAAAAAAACAAAAAAGAGGGAUCUAAUUGAACCAAAGUCUACGUUCAUAGCGUACAAGAUGCGCCAUCUCUCUUCUUCGUUUUCCUGCUGCUUUCCUUCUCCAAGAAAAAAUAAAAGAGAAAAUCCAAUGAAGGAAUAUCUUAAUUUAAUCAAAAAUACCAAUUCAAUGUAAGACUGCCAUCAUACACGUUGACAUUUUUCUCCACUAUCUAUUUAUAAGGAGAAUGGUUUGUUUGAGGACACAAUCCUGUUAACACCUUUGUGUCCUUCAGAGUAAACCACCCUUGUACUCUCUUGCCUUUGUGUUCUUGUUCAAAGGUAGAGAUUACAUAUAAUAAUUCACAUGAUCAUAGCUUCCCUUGUACUCUCUGCUUUUCUCUAAUCCCCUGUCAAUUUUCCUCGAAGUUCUUUGCUUUUCCCUUCUUUUCUUGUUCAAUUUUGAUGCUUGUGUUUUUGGGUUCUUGAAUUCUUAGCUUUUAGGGUUCAAUCACAUCUGGGGUUGGAUAUUACUGUGAAUUCUGCUUCUGGGUAUUCCUGUUUUCAUUCAAAGGAGCUGCAUUUUUAGCAUUCUUAAGUAUAAAGCCAAAAGGUUCUGGUGUUUGUUAGAGAAAGAGAGACAUGGCUGGUGGUGGUAAAAGGAAGAGGUUGAGUCUGAGCAAACUGUACUCGUUUGCAUGUGGAAAGACAUCUUUAAAGGGUGAUCAGUCCCAGAUGGGGGCACCUGGGUUUUCCAGGGUAGUUCACUGCAAUGAACCAGACUGUUUUGAGGCCAAGAUUAGAAGAUAUAGUGGCAACUAUGUUAGUACUACAAAGUACAAUGUUGCUACUUUCUUGCCCAAAUCAUUGUUUGAGCAGUUCAGAAGAGUGGCUAACUUCUAUUUCUUGGUUGUGGGUAUCUUGGCUUUCACCCCUCUUGCACCUUACACAGCUGUCAGUGCUAUUUUCCCCCUUAUUGUUGUUGUUGGAGCUACCAUGGUUAAAGAAGGUAUUGAAGAUUGGAAGAGAGCUCAGCAGGUAUGGUUUUAAUUUUUUAUUUGUUUGCUCAGAUUGGAUAUGUUUAUUGAUUAUGGUUUGAUGUGUUUGUAAUGUCUUCUUGACUUCUCUUAAAGUGAAGUUUCAAAUUACUCUCUACUGAUUGAAUGGUAUUCAUAUGAUUUGAUGAUGAAAUUUUGGGAUUAUUUUUUUAUUUUUUUUUGAUUUUUUUCAUGUUAUUUGCUUGGACAUAUCUGGGAAAUAUUUUGCAUAGAAGUUUAGUAAGGCUUUAGAUGACACCGAUAAACAAGAUGAAAGAUCAGAACUUUAACUCAUUUUUACUGAUUCAUGCAUCUUAUCCUAGACUUUGUGUGACUUAUAAGAAAUAUUGAAACAUCAGAUACAGGAUGAGCCUUCUGCUCUCUCCUAGGGUAAUUUGUGCUACACUAGUUAGCAUCGAAACUCCUGUUCCCAAGAAACAGGACUAUACAAAUUGCAGUCCAGUUGAUAUUGGAUAUGUUUUACCUGCAACUUCUAAAAUGCUUCCGUGUUCUCGUGCAUGCUAUCAGAGAUGUCUGAGUGGCAAAUGAUAAGUAUGCUUGAUCAUCUAUCCUCUAUUGAAAUUUCUCAUAUCUGAUUUGUACUCUUUUCUUUCGGAAUGGAUUCUCAGGAUAUCGAGAUGAACAAUAGAAAAACUAGAGUGCACCAGGGUGAUGGAACUUUCAAAUCUACUGGAUGGAAGAAUCUGAGGGUGGGAGACAUAGUGAAGGUGAAGAAGGAUGAAUACUUUCCAGCAGACCUCCUCUUGCUCUCAUCAACUUUUGAAGAUGGAAUCUGCUAUGUUGAGACCAUGAAUCUAGAUGGAGAAACAAAUUUGAAACUCAAACAGGCAUUGGAGGCAACAGCAUUCAUGCACGAGGACUCUUACUAUAGGGAUUUCAAGGCUCUUAUCAAAUGUGAAGACCCAAAUACAAAUUUGUACUCCUUCGUUGGCACUCUGGACUUUGAACAGAACCUGUAUCCCCUCUCUCCUCAACGGCUUCUCCUCAGAGACUCCAAACUCAGAAAUACAGAGUAUAUAUAUGGGGCAGUUAUCUUCACUGGACAUGACACAAAGGUUAUGCAAAAUUCUACAGCUCCCCCUUCAAAGAGAAGCAAAUUUGAGAAGCAGAUGGAUAAAAUUGUUUACUUCUUAUUCUUUGUUCUAUUUAUGAUGGCAUUUAUUGGAUCUCUUGUUUUCGGAGUUGCAACUGACAAUGACUUGGAUGGAGGGAGGAUGAAAAGGUGGUAUCUCAAACCAGAUGAGUCUACUGUUUACUUUGACCCUAAAAGAGUGGUCUUAGCAUCAAUUUGUCACUUUCUGACUGCUCUCAUGUUGUACAAUUACUUCAUCCCAAUCUCCCUGUACGUGUCAAUUGAAGUCGUCAAAGUUUUUCAGAGCAGUUUCAUCAACAACGAUAUCAAUUUGUACUAUGAGCCAUCUGACAGGCCAGCACAUUCUCGCACCUCAAAUUUGAAUGAGGAACUUGGGCAAGUGGACACGAUACUUUCUGACAAGACUGGAACAUUGACCUGCAAUUCCAUGGAGUUCAUCAAGUGUUCUGUCGCGGGGACUGCUUAUGGCCAUGGGGUUACAGAGGCUGAGCGGGGAAUGGGUGUGAGAGAAGGUGAAAGUGUGAAUGGUUGGGACCAGAGCAAGGAUUCUUCCACUACAAAACCGCACAUUAAAGGUUUCAAUUUUAAAGAUGAAAGGAUUAUGGAUGGGAACUGGGUCCAUGAACCCCAAGCUAACAUCAUUGAAAAUUUUUUCCUCUUGUUGGCAAUCUGUCACACUGCCAUACCUGAUGUGGAUGAAGAAACGGGGAAGAUUUCAUACGAAGCUGAAUCACCAGAUGAAGCAGCAUUUGUGAUUGCUGCAAGAGAAAUUGGUUUUGAAUUCUACAAAAGGACUCAAACAAGCGUUGCAGUGCGUGAGUACAAUCCAAAGACUGGGAAGAAAGUUGAAAGGGUGUAUACAGUUCUGAAUGUUUUGGAGUUUAACAGUGCAAGAAAGCGGAUGUCUGUGAUAGUAAGAAAUGAGGAGGGGAAACUGCUAUUACUUUGUAAAGGUGCUGACAGGUUUGUGAUCAACUACCUUGAAACCCUUGAAAUUGGAAAAUUCCUUGUCUUUUAACCUAUUGCUUAUUAAUUAAAUUUAACCUGUAUCAUAUGCAGUGUCAUGUUUGAAAGGCUUGCUAAGAGUGGAAGGGGGUUUGAAGAGGAGACCAAGAAUCAUGUGAAUGACUAUGCUGAUUCUGGCCUGAGGACCCUAAUACUUGCCUAUCGUGAACUUGCUGAAGAAGAAUACAAAAUUUUUAACCAGAAAUUCACCGAGGCUAAGAAUUCAGUUAGUGCAGAUCGGGAAACAUUGAUUGAUGACAUGGCAGAGAAGAUCGAGAGGAAUCUAGUUCUUCUUGGCGCAACUGCUGUUGAGGAUAAACUCCAAGAAGGGGUGAGUAAGAAAACCUAAAAUGUUCUAAAAUAAACCGGCCUUUUUAGAGAUCUUGAAUUUUUUGUUCUUAUACUGUGUACCCUUUAGGUUCCUGCCUGCAUAGACAAACUUGCUCAAGCUGGAAUUAAGAUGUGGGUUUUGACUGGAGACAAAAUGGAGACUGCCAUAAACAUUGGGUAUGUUGUUUUUUGAAAAAGAGUGUUUGUAUUGACACUUUUAAGAUGAGUGGACAUUUCAUAUUAUACGUGGAGGCAUCUGACUUAAAAUUUUGAAUAUGCAGCUUCUCCUGUUGUUUGCUUAGACAAGGAAUGAAGCAGAUCAUAAUCAAUUUGGAGAAUCCAGAGAUCCUGUCAUUGGAAAAAACAGGAAACAAGGAUGCCAUUACUAAGGUAAAGACUGCUUUAAUUCAUCAAAGAUUUCAGUCCACUUCAGGUUAUUUACCCGUGAUUUAUUUUCCUUUUCUCCUGGUGUCAUCUCGGUUGGGAGAAAGGGUGUUGAAGUCAAAGAUGCACCUUAAUUGUUAUGAAUCUAUAUGUGAUAUUGAUGGUAUAUACAUUCAUUUUCCAGGCAUCAAGGGAAAGUGUUCUUCGUCAAAUAACUGAUGGAACGGCCCUGCUUACUGGACCAAGUGGAACUGCUGAGACAUUUGCAUUGAUAAUUGAUGGAAAAUCACUCGCUUACGCAUUAGAGGAUGACAUGAAACAUUUGUUUCUAGAUCUUGCUAUGAGUUGUGCAUCUGUCAUUUGUUGCCGUUCAUCACCAAAACAGAAAGCACUGGUGGGUUAUUAUUCUUAGUUUUUCACUGCUGUAGGUGCAUGUGUUGUUAGAUAGUAAAGACUUUCUUCUGUACACUUCUCUUGAAAGAAUAAUUGUUUUAAAUGGUAAAAUACAGGUUACAAGACUAGUCAAAUCUGGAACCAGGAAAACAACAUUAGCAAUUGGUGAUGGUGCCAAUGACGUGGGUAUGCUUCAAGAAGCAGAUAUUGGAGUCGGAAUCAGUGGUGUUGAAGGAAUGCAGGUCUUUUCCACAGAACAGCUUACAUCUCAAUUAAUUGUUGAAAAUAUUUCUCUACUUGAUUGUAAUUCUCACCACCUGUUAACCCUAUUUUAUGCUUGUUUUCAACUCAGGCUGCCAUGGCAAGUGAUGUUGCAAUUGCUCAGUUUCGGUAUUUGGAGCGUUUACUACUUGUACAUGGGCAUUGGUGUUACAGGAGGCUCUCAUCUAUGGUAAGGUCAUUCAUAUGUUUGGAUUUGGACAUGGCUUAAUAUUUCAGUAUGGGCAUUAAAUUAACGUCAAUGAUUAUUGAUGAAUGUGAAAUGUCAUCAUGAGUUUUCACCUUUUCAUGAUUAUACUGAUAUAUAUAUAUAUUUUCAUAUGCAGAUAUGCUAUUUCUUCUACAAGAACAUUGCCUUUGGUUUCUCCAUUUGGCUAUAUGAGGCUUAUACAUCAUUUUCUGCACAGUCUGUAUACGGUGAUUGGUUUUUGUCAUUUUAUAAUGUCUUCUUCACGGCUCUUCCAGUUGCCGCUUUGGGUAUCUUUGAACAAGAUGUAUCUGCUGCAAGCUGUCUCAAGGUAUCUCACUCACUCACUUAGCAGACUCAAUUAUGGUCAUUAGAUGGUUAGUAAAGCAAAGUAAACAUCUUGGCCAAAUUUUGAUCAUUUUUUGACUUAUUUCAUAUUUCAGUAUCCUCUACUAUACCAAGAAGGCGUGAAAAAUCUCCUCUUUGGGUGGCGCCGAGUACUUCAUUGGCUGGGUAACGGGUUCUAUACUGCACUAGUCGUUUUCUUCUUCUGCUCAACUGCACUGCAGCACCAAGCCUUCAACCGUGAUGGAAAAACUGUUGGGAUGGAUGUUUUAGGAGGAACCAUGUAUACUUGCAUCGUGUGGGCUGUGAACUUGCAGAUGGCAUUGACUGUUUGUUACUUCACCAAAAUACAGCGUGGCCUAAUUAUAUAUUGUCUUUGUAUGUUGUACAUUUUCUUCGUGGCAUUUGGGUCCCUGUCUCCGUCAAUGUCUGCAAUUGGCUACAAACUCUUUACAGAAGCCCUUGCCCCGGCUGCUUCUUACUGGUUUACAAUCAUAUUUGUGAUAAUCGCAGCACUGUUGCCCUUCUAUGCAUAUUCAGCAAUUGAAACAAGGUUCUUUCCCAUGUACCACCAGAUGAUACAAAGGUUAGAGAGUGGGAAACAUGAAGAUGAUCCUGAGUAUUGUGAUAUGAUGCGACAAAAGUUAUUGCAGCCACCAACAUCAGUAGGUUUUUCAGCACGGUUGGCAGCACGAGCUAAUAAGUUAAGGCGUAAGAAUAAGAAUCAGCCACAAUAAUAGCUGAUUGUUCCUGGAGGGCAUCUGUCAACAUUUCUGGGUUGUGGUUAUCUGCUCAGAAGCUGAACUCUGUCCCAGCUGUAUACGACUUAAUGAGGCUUCUACUUUACCAGAAGGUAUGGCCCUGCAAGUUAAGAGUUUUUGGUGAUUUUUUAUGGAAGCAUCGUUCAGCUGUACCAUAAGUGGAACAGGAGACUUAUGCCAAAAGGAAUUUAAAUUUUGUUUGUUGUAAAAGAAAUGUAAUUUUUAUACCAACUUGUAUUAUUAUUACAAUGUAUUUAGGACACCAUUGAAUUGGUCGUAGAUUUGGAUUGUAUUUGUUGUUUACAAGAAUAAACUCUUCUUUUUCUUAUUGUAACUUGUAGUUCUAUUGAGUUUAUUAUUUUUUAUUACUUCUUAAUAAACUUGGAUUCUUGUUUACUAUUGAUUAUGGAGUAGAGGAAUUUUCGUUUUCUUGUCUUUAAUUCCCUAUGCUUGAUGAAUUUGUUGAAUCUCCUGAAGCACACAACGGAUAUCUAGCUUGUAACUGCAGUUAAAUGUUAAAACAGCAGGCGGCCAAACGCCCUCUCAUUCUUAGCUGAACAUUCAUUGAUUGGAACUUGAAAUUCUCGGCUAUAAUGUUCUUUCUCUUUUCCUUUUUGGUAAUCUUGGCCAUAACGUUGUUUCCUUGGCAGAAUAAAUGUCAAUAUAAUUGUUUGUUCUUUACCUGGGAAACACCAGAGAGGGAACUGAUAAGUGAACUUCCUUAUUGCCCUGGUUUGAUUUCUAAAUGAGUUAGUUGCACAAAAGCUUUAGCCCUAAUCUCAGUGGUUUCAGGUUGAAUUUUAAAUGAGUCAAUUUGAUCUAUAAUUGUGUUGCCCUUUACUGCAAGUUCCCAUUCCAUCUCUCACCCACAGUUAGCAUCCGUAUCUGAGUUUGCUCUUGCCAAGCCAGAUUAAUCCAAUUCUGCAGAAUUCUUUGUAAGGAUCACAGAACAGAAUAUUGAUUUACGUACGACCAUAAUUUGCAGCACACAUUUUGUUUUGUUACUGCAAAAAUAUACUGAGCCAGGAUUAAGUGAAUGGUUAAUCCAUUAGUUGAUGCAUAGAAAUGGCUGUAUCUGGAUGGAUCUGUAGAUGAUAUCGCCUCAAUUAUGAUAGGGAAAAUAGAGUUACUCAUACAAUGAGUUCUUCACAUAAAUGCAACUGGCCAUCAUCAGUAAUUGCAAGAAACUGAAGUUCAUGCAAAAACAUCUUACAUUGCCAUAACCAUGAUCUUAUUCUUAGCAAUCCAAUUACACGGAUUAACAACUACCCUUUUUCCAUUGAAUCAUUGCAUCCAGUUUUCAUGCAUUCAGAGGCCAAAUUGCUUUCUCAAAUGCAGACCGUUGGCCUUGAAUGAUAUGGCAGCCGGUUUCCUAACUUCCAUAGAUUGGUGAUGCCACCAGUAAUGUCAUGUAGCAGAAAAAUUAGUAAUGAAAAUCUUGGACUGGUAGAUAAAAUGUCGUUUUCAUGUUAUUUAUUUAUGUCGACAAUUCCAACCACUACAAUAAAUAUAACAUUAUGCAAUCUACAAGUUGUGUUAACAUGUUUCAAGUGGGAUUCAGGUCUCUCCUCCUUCCAUCUUGUUUACAGGUAUCCCAUGACCAGAUCUUAAAAGAAUUACAUCUACACACAAGAAAUUACGAGAAAGAUGAUAGAAAAAAAUAAGUGAAAGGAAAAGGUCAUCGGAUCAUGCCAAACCAUCAAUGAUAUUGCAGAUCGCCAGAUCCCCAUCAGAGAACAAAAUGCUAAUGACAUAUUAAUGGAUAUUGCAGAUCCCCGCGACGUCCAUGUCCAUGUAUUAACAAGACCAUACCCAUCAUCGAUCAGGCUCUAUGGAACUUUGAUGCCAAGAAAAUCAGCAGCAGAUUUUGCCAUGACGUUUGCAAACUCAUUAAAACUCAAAACACCAUCUCCAUUGGUGUCAGCCUCUCUCAUCAUAUCUGAUAGCUCACGAUACGUCAAAGGGUGUCCCAUUUUAGCCAUUGAUCCUGCAAGCUCAGCAGCAGUAAUGAAUCCAUUGCCAUCCCUGUCAAAUGAUCGAAAAACCUCCAACAACUGCUCCUGGUUGAUCAAUACUUCUUCAUUCAUAUCAGGCAAUAUAGCACUGACCAGCUCAUCAAACUCAACAUAACCAUUUCCAUUAGCAUCCAUGUUUGAUAACAGAACAUGAAGUUGAUCACCUGUAGGUUUGAGGCCAAGAGAACGUAGAAGCGCAGCGAGCUCCAGCUGCGUGAGGCUGCCAUCGGAAUCCAUGUCGAAGCGAAUGAAGAUGUCCUUGAGCUGCUUGAGCUGAUCGGUCUGAAGGGUUGCCAUCAUGUCUGGAUGGAAAUGGAGGAGGUGAAAGGAAAGGAAAUUAAAGGAAAGGAAUGGUUUUUUUUCUUUUUUUUUGUAUCUGUAUUUUGGCUGGUUAAGGAUGCGGGGCUAAUUGAGUGUUGUUCUUUUCAACUGGAAUGGUUCAACCAAAACCGCGUUAUAUCAUUGCCGUGUUAUGUGGGGGGUAAAAACGAGCAAAGGAAUUACGCAGUCAAGUUUCUGAAAUAUUCUCUGUGAACGUUGGGGCAUGUGGGUUCGCGGUGGCGUUGCCUUAUUUUUUUCAAAACUCCAUGUUUGCUAUUUUUGUGCUCUAUUUUGAUCUUUCUCAGGACAUAGUUGUCUUAGAAAGAAUUAUUACAAGAAAGUAUCUGGAACAGAAUAAUGGUACUUUUUGUACAUUCAUCUAAAAACCUUGACACCGGCUUUGAAGGGCGUUGAGUUCUCUUUUCAUACUCUAUUCAUUAUUAUAAAAUUAAUCGAGAAUAAAUAAAUAUUUUUUUAAUUUAGAUUGCACAAUAAAAAAAACUAUGAUAUAGCAAAAUAAAAAGAAUAUGGCAUGAAAGAAUAUUUCAAAAUAAUUUUUUUUAUUAUAAUUUAAACUUAUAGAAAAUUUUUAUUUGAUCAAAUAUAAAAAAUAAUGAACAAUUAAAAUGUAUAGUAAAAUAAUAAAAAUAUUCUUAAAAUAAAAUAGAAAUUGAAUGAUUUUUGAAGGUUUAGUAUCGAUAGUAAAAUAUUUUAAUUAAUUUAAUACAUUUAUGUGAAUAAAAUUAGAAUGAAUCAUCAUUAAUUGUGAAUGUUUUUAAUUUAAUAUGUAUCUUAUAGUAUUUAACAUAUAUGUUUAUUUUAUGUUUACGUUUAAAUAUAUCAUAUUAAUACGUUUGAUUUUGAUCCAUAAAAAAUACACUUAAUCAUAGAAAAUAUUAAAGGGCUUAAUUUUAAUUAGUGGGUCUAUAGAAAAAAUCACAAAACAACUAUUAAUUAUUGAAAUAAAUAAAUUUUAAUAAAAUAUUAAAUAAUGGGAAAAAAACAAAUUAAAAAAAAAAAGGAAAGUGGGGUCAGGGUGUGACAACAGGGCUCGCGUGCUUCGUCGGCUGGAUGUGCAUGGCCUCGGCGUUAAAAAAAUCAAGAAUAGAGGUGAACAGCGUGUCAUCAGCAACAGGUGGAACUUUUGAUGACUGUUUCGUCGAAAAAUCGGCAGCCGCUAGUUUUGACCUCAAAAGUCAAAACCCAAUUUCUAUACUAUUUUUACCUUUAAAUCAUCCCAUCAAUAUUUAAAAACUAUUUUUAAACCUCAAAAUAUAUUUUUAAUCAACUCUAAGAACUCAAAAAUUAUGAUUCUCUCCUCCCUUCUCUCUCAUUGAUUCUCCCCUCAUUCUACAUACACGGGCCUCAUGUUAACACUAAUAAAUUUUGGGGACCAUUCUAUAUAAACCUUGAGCACUGAGGACCAGAAUGAAUUCACAUUUGUAAGAAAUUACUUUAAUUUUAAUUUAAUUUAAUUUUUGUAUAAGGAUGUUGUUUUUUUAGCACCAUAGCUAGCCUAUUCAUAGCUGCAGUGCAACCCUUCAUUAUCUUUUAGUUAAUUAUUUUAAUUUAAUUAAUAAUAAUGUAAUUUAAUUUAGUCAAUAAAUAAUAUUUACAGAGGAGGCAAAAAGAAAGAUAAUUUCUUGUGAAAGCAUUGGCAAGUUUGGAGGGCUGAUAAAACUCCAAUGAAGAGAGAUUUAAAUACUGUCAGGGGAUUUGUCUAGAAAUUAUUUUUAUUUAAAAAUAUAUUAAAAUAAUAUUUUUUUAAUUUAUUUUUAACAUCAGAUUAUCAAAACAAUCUAAAAUUAUUUUGAAAUUUAAAAAACUCAAAAACAUUUAAAAAUGAAUAGUAACUUGGAUGACACGGGAAGGUUAGUUUUUGAAUGGAUUGGCCUUGGGAGCAUGAAGGUUUGAAAGUUAUCGCUUCUGUUGAAUGUUCAAAUUGAGGAGAGAAUUCAGUGGUUGACUAGUGAAAACCAUUCAGGGUGUGAAAUCAAAAUUGAGUUUGCUAAUAAAACCAAUAAUUAAUCAAACCCAUCUGAAAAGAUUCUCAUCCUCCCCCAGAAUCCACAAUGCUAAUCGUUGAAAAUUAUCGCAUUACACAUUAAACAAUGAAUGCAGCGUUGAACAUUCUUAGAAAAUCACCAUAUUCGUCCUCCCAGACCAGUAUACACAGGAGGGGAGUGAAAUUAUAUCGUUGGAUCUAUCUAAAUUCUUUUCAUUGUUUUAUUUAAACCCAGUAAACGUAAGAUAGGUGUCAUCAUUGUACAGAUGCCUGCUCUCUUGACUCCCUCUGGGAUUGAUUGGCAUGUUAAAAGCAAAAUAUGCUAUUGGUGAGAGCACCAUAUGGAAUUUUGAUUAUGGAUAUGUUCAUAAAUUGGCAAUAAUAAUGGUGUGUUUUCAUUCUUCCAAAACUCUAGCUCCUCCUGACGCUUCAAAACAUGGGAUAGAAGCCAUUGUCACGAGCUGAGAUCAAUCAGCCCAGAUUUCGAGUCUUUCAGUGGCUUUCUUUAUUUAACACUUCAUUUGAUCCCGAUCACUGCUUGUGACACACACUAUAACUAGUCACAUCGGCACCACCCUGUACCGGUGCAAUCAUCAUUUGCUACAGAUGUAUAACUGGAUAUAUUCACACCAUUCAUUCUUCAUUACUUUGUUAUCCACGAGAAAAAGAAUGUAAACUGUUUGGCAUGCAACCAGGAAUACAAGAGAAAAUGGUAAGAGUCAACUGAGAGUGACACGACUCUUACAUGCUUCAAGAUGAAUGAACAAAAUUGAAUCGAGAUUUUAUUAACACAAAAAAUACUGUUCAGAACAAAAAUUUGCAGGCGCUAAUUACAAGAAGAAAGAAUUACAGCACCUGUGACAUGGGAAAAUUAUAAUAACCUAGCUACCAGUAUCAAGGGCUUGAAAUCCAAUCCCUACAGGAGACAGUUCAUUUCAGAGACCAUCCUGUACAUCGUGAGCUUGUAUAUGUUCCAUCUCAAAAUUCAUGAAUCCUACUGUUCAUAGAUGAAUUUAUCUCUAACACUAUUUACCAUGUGCUCUUUAAUUAUCCAGGCUAUAACAAUCUAUACUGUAAUUUUGACUACCAAAUGCCAUCCUUCGAAACAGUCUAAUUUCUUCAGAUUGUUGUGCAGAGUUGAAUAGCUCACUUUCUCCCACUCUCAUUCCGUUGGUUAGAUCUGCUAUCGCUAAAGUAUCAAAAGCUCUAACAACCUGAGAAGCAUAGGCAGGCUUAGAGAAAUGCACCUAACAUCUCCAAAUCUGGACUUUUAAUGGAGAAGCAAGAAUUUUCAGCUAGUUCAGUGAUCAAAUUGCAAUUACCUGUCCCAUCCGUGGCCUCUUAGAAGCUGAAUGCCGCACACAGGCCGCAGCAGCCUCAAUCAUCCGGAACAUUUCGCUUUCAAUGUAGUUCUUUUCAAGCCUUGGAUCUGCCAAACUUUCAAGUUCCUCAUUUUCUAGUGCAUGAUUUAGCAAAGGUCGAGCCUGGAAGAAAGGUAAGAAAAGUUUCAGCAUGAAAUUGUGGAAAAUCAAAUACCAGUUCAACACUUCUAUUUCUUUCAACAUGUGCAUUUUUUAGUUUUCUUUCUAUACAUUCCAAAAAAAAAUUACUGGAAAGAGAACAAAAGAAAACUACAAACAGCAGGAUUAUGUAUUCUCCACCACAAGGUACAGAGAAGAGGAAACAACAUCAAGACAUAACAUUGUUUCACCUCUGUACAUUUGUUUCAUUGGUUACACACUUUUUUUUUUAUUCUUGCACUGAGGAAUAUCAUAAUUAUGCAUUGAAUUUAAAUCAAGGUUCAGUAAGAUUAGUCCUAGAUCUGGGAAGGCUUUUAAUUUUCCAUGUACUGAGUUAUUUUCUUCAGUAUAAAAUCUAUAUAUGAUUAGAGGCCACAGGCCACGAAAUCAAUGGAGCUCCAGAAAACUCAACAGAACCCCGAUCCCCCACCCUGCAUACACCAAGGAAUAACAUCCACUCAAUAAGCAAAUCUUCCAAACAACCUAUUUCUAAAAUAAGCACACCUGUUCCUGAAUCAAACCACUAUGGGAAUAUAUAAGAAGUUCAGAACAGGUCUUGUAGCCUUUUUACCGAUUCUAUCCACAAUUCAAAUGUGAGAAACUAGUAGUGUUUCGAGCAGAAGGUAACCAUGUUUCUAUUACCCUUGUAACUAAUUUUCUAACAAAUGUAGCAACUUCAGAAACAUCUUCUCAUAUCAAAACUAAGCAGUGAGAAGAAAAACAUAUAACAGAAAGCAUAAAAAAUUACACGACUCAAACUAAGCUGUAUCGAUAUAACCAGAAACUUCAGGAUAAAUGAUCUAAUUGAAUUUAUCAUUUAUGCAUGCUGAAAUAGAAGGCAAAUCUUUAGAAUAGAUCUGCUCAGCAGACGAGGGUUGCUAAGAAUAAGGUCCACAAAGAGUAAUUGAUCCAUCAAUAAAACUGUCAUUCAAAUCCUUAUUACUAGCAACUAGGUUAUUGGAUCUGGAUGUAUCUUAAUGCAUGCUCCAGUUAACAAUCAACAAUUCGUGAAAAUUGAAUGAGUCUAUCGUCCAGAAGCAGAAUGCUAGCCAGGGUGCAUAAACUACUUACCCAUUCAACAAGACUCUCCUCUCCCAUGGGCUGGGAUGCAUCCACAGGCUUCCGUCCAGUGAUUAGCUCCAAAAGCACAACUCCAUAUGAGAAUACAUCAGAUUUCUCUGUUAAUUUGCCGCUUGAUGCAUAUUCAGGGGCCAUGUAUCUGAGUGAUCAAUUAAACAUUAGAUGCACAUAGACAUGGCUGAUAUAUGUUCAUUGCACAGGAAAAGAAAACCAAAUACAGCUGUACUUUGAAAAUAGUAUUCCCAUCAACUCCCGACUGCCCAAAAGGGCUGAAACCCUCCCUGCUCACACAAAAAAGGGCAGAGAGAGAAUAGGGGUGCCCCUCAGUGGCCCUGUAGUGGCAGGUAUUUAAGCAAAUAAUAGAUGAUCUCUUACCCAAAGGUUCCCAUAACACGAGUUGUUACAUGAGUGUUUGAAUCAAGAGCUAAUUUGGCAAGCCCAAAGUCUGAAACCUGCAAAUUAAAAUCUAGAAACAGUUAAACCACAAUCUAAUUGAAACUAAUCAUAAACAAAUGUUAAAAGGGAAAAUUGUGCAUACCUUAGCUUCAUAGUUGUUAUCUAAGAGAAUAUUUGACGACUUAAUAUCCCUGUGAAUAAUCCGAGGAUGACCUGAACAAAUAAUAGUAAAUCAAAUGAAUAACACCUCCACCAUAUGUAGUCUAAUAAGGAAACCCAUUCAUUAUUUUAGCGUUAAGGAAAUAGCGCACCUAUCAAUGAACAUUAUAUGGCUGGAGUUCUUAUUAACAUGUUCUUAACUCUAGAUCAUCAGUAGUACCAAAAUUGAUAUUUUCAUACUAAUCUUGAUUGAGGUAGAAUUCUGUAUGUGCUUUAAGGAUGAGAAUAUUGUGAAAUUGCAUUCGGUUAUUAGAUCCUUGUUUUUUAUUACUGAAAGUUGGAUCAUAACUUUUGAAAAUGAAGAGUGGGUACGGAUGGAUGGCUUAACCUUUCAAUAACAAGAAUAGGGAAAAGGAAAGCAGUUGCCAAGUGUUGAAAAAGAACAAAAAACAGGUGAAUAAUGUCUUGAGUUAAUUUUGGAAGUGAAUGUGAACAUUAUCUAGCUAAUAAAAUCCAGAUUUGAAAUACUUACAGUCUUCAUGGAGAUAAGCUAUUCCCCGAGCUGCUCCAGCAGCAAUCUUAACACGUGUUGCCCAAUCCAGAGCCAGCCCACCCACCCCUACAGAAAGAAAGACCAACAAGCAUGACUGAUGAUCAUUUUUAUGAACUGACAUGCCAAAUCUCAUCUAUAAGUUGUAGCUUUACCGUGAAGAUGGAAAUAAAGGGUAUUGUUAGGGACAUAAUCAUAUACGAGCAAUCUUCGGGUCUCACAUAUGCAGUAGCCCACAAGAGAAACCAAAUGGCGGUGGUGUACGCGACUAAUAAUCUCAACUUCAGCUUUAAAUUCUCGCUCACCUUGCCCUCCACCAAUUUUUAGCUGUUUCACUGCCACAUCUCUCCCAUCUGGAAGGUAACCUUUGUAUACAGAACCAAAUCCACCUUCUCCCAAAAGGUUUUGGGAUGAAAACCCAUUUGUCGCCUUGACUAGCUCUUCAAACGCAAACAAAGGCCUUGAAUUACCUAAUCCGCUUGAUUCAGUUGGCAAAGAAACACAAUCACUGCUAGAACCACUUGCAAUUAGGGGAGCCGUAGAAUGAGUCUUUGUGAAAGUUGAACCUGAGGGGGCAAAUUUGAAAAACUUCAGAGUUCUUGUCAACAAUCUCAUUCAAAGUGCUUAGCAGCAAUCUCAUUAAAUGCAAGUUUGCUAAGAAUAGAUUACCUUCUUAGUAGGAGAAAUCAGAAUAGAUUAACCAAUUAUCUGUAUUUUUAUAAGAUCCAAACCAUAUGAUUUAGUUUUGCCAUUUUUAUUUGUUAAAGAAAAUAUGCUCUCGAACAUUUGAUUGUAUAUCAGAUGCAGUUCAAUUGGCAAAAGUUAAAUCAAAUUAUGAGAAUAAACACCAACCGAAGUUUUGGGACCCUCUUGGCAGAAUUCCGAAUAGCGUUACCUAGUGACUAGGAGUGGUACUAUUGAGAAAAGUCAUAACAAGCUAAAGAAGCAAAGGUGAAAUGCUGUUUAAAAUAAACACCUGAUCUUGGAGAAGAGCCCAAAGAAGAUGGCAUAACAUAAACACCAUUGAGUCCAGAAAUCUCUUUUCGCCGCCUCCUCAUGCACCAGAGAGCCAGUCCAACAAGGCUGAGCAUUAUAAUUCCUAUUGCUGCACCAAUAGCCACCAUACCUCCAGUACCGAUGCCCCCAUUACCUGUGGAGUUUGAACUUCCAGGUGAAUUAGGGGCGGUAUUGUUCGUGGGUGAUGGCGGGGAAACAAGUGCGCGUGGAGGCGGAGCCAAUCUUAUUUUUGGCGGUGACAAUGCUGGUGGAUUGGAAUCUGAUGGGACAGGUGUUGCUUGAGGAGAAGUUGGAGGAGUAAGCCUAGGAGGUGGGGGCACAUUACUGGGACGAGGGGCUAUUGAAAUUGGUGGACGUGGUGAAUUCUCAGGUGGAGUUGAUGCUGGUGGUGGAGGUGAUCUUCGAGGAGGUGGCAAGGAUGCUGGUGGGGGGGUCGGAGGAGGUGGUGGUGGUGAAUUUUGAGGUGGCCUAGAUGAGGGUUGUGAUGGAGGUGAACUCUGAGGUGGCGGUGUUGAUGGUGGUGGAGGUGAACUCUGAGGUGGCAGAGAUGGUGGUGGAGGUGAACUCUGAGGUGGCGGUGAUGAUGGUGGUGGUGGAGAUGAGAUUUGAGGCGGUGAUGGAGAUGAACUUUGAGGUGGAGGUGUCGAUGAUGGUGGUGGAGAAUUUUGAGGUGGUGUUGUUGAUGGUGAUGGUGGAGAGGAACUUGUAGGUGGAUUCAACAGUGGUGGUGGAGGUGCAGUUGAUGGUGGAUUAGAUGGUGGUGGUGGUGGAGGUGAGCUCACAGGCGGAGUGGCUGAUAGUGGUGGAGGAGAAUUGGAGUUUGAUGGAGGAUCACUACUGGAUAAAGGCGGAGAACGUGAUGUCAUAGGAGGUGGUGGUUGUGGUGGAGGGGUUGAUGGUGUGGCAGGAGGAGGAUUAGAAACAGUAGGAGGAGGGGUUUGGGGUGGUGGUGAUGGAGCAGGAGGGGUUCUUGGGUCUGGUGGAUUGGCAUUGGGCUGUGUAGGUGGGGAAGUGGGAGGAGGAGAGGAGGCUUGUGGUGGUGAACUAGUAGAGGAUGGUGGUGGUGUACCGUUUAAAGGUGGUGGAGUAGCAGAGGGGGGUGAAUUUGGGGAUGGAGAUACAGUUGCCAUCACUACAGUUCCAAAUCAAGCGACUUCAAAUCACAUCACAGAAUUUAAACUUUCAUUGGCUUUUCACCAAGUUCUCCCAAUUCCAGUACGAAAGGCAAGGUUUAGAUCAAAACACACCCAUCAAUUUCAAGAAAUAACUCCAAAAUGAACAAACUUUAAAACCAAGAGAGAUUCAAAUCACCAAAACUUCACCAACCAUGCUCUGAAAAGUCACCAAACAUUCAUACUUGAAAUCACAGUAACCUCUUUGGAGCCAGACCCUAAUCACUUUCGGGCUUUUUAGCUAAACCCAGAUUUCCAAUCUCUUUACCCGCUAAAAAUCAGAUCAAGAAUCACAAACAAGACCAAAGCCACUUCACAACCUUUUAAGCAACACCCAAAUUGCUAAAUUUAGAGUAGAAUUUAAAAGACCCAGACUUCGAUCAGUAAACUGAUUCCAGCAACGCCAAUAAGAUCCUCUACAUUCAGCGGGCAAAUGCAGCGACACUUACACCAUUAAUUACUCUACAAACAAGAACCCAGAUGCUAAAAACUCAAGAAACCGUACCUUUCCUUUACUUCAGGUCAUUUGCAUUGCGGCCAAUAUCGGCUGGUUCUUUAAAACUCUCUCUCUCUCUCUCUCUCUCUCUCUCUCUCUCUGUCUUACCUACAUAUGAAGUUCAAAUCAGGAACACGGAUUGUGGGGUCUCAAAUCCAAAGCAGUGUCGAUAGAGACCGUCAAAGCUGAAGAAUAAUGAGGCAGUUUUUUUUUAGCAUGAAAAGUAAACAUUCACAGAUUUUUCAAAUCAUCAUCGUCUCCGUCAUAAUAGUGUUAUUAUUAAAUUAAAGGUCAAGGUCUAUUAAAGCCUGGGACUUGCUUCAUGGUAACGUCAAGUCCAUGAUAUAUUUUAUCAACCUACGACUCUUUUUUUCAUUAUGAACCUUCAAGGAUCAGCAUUCAUGUCUUUAGGCUCUCUUUUUUUAAUUUUACUUUAAAUUACUGUUUGGCAAUACUAGUUCGAUAAUGAUUGUAAUUUUCAAGUGUUUUAUAACACUUUGAAAGAUAAUAUCAUAAUUUUUUUAUAUAUUAUUUUUAGAAUAUUUAAUUUUUAACUUUUUAAAAAUCACAUUAACAACUAAAAACCAUAGCUUUAUCAAACUGAUUCUCUCAUUUGGAUCUUUUCUCCUGAGUAUUAACUAGAUUCUCUGUACCGGGUUUGUACAUUUAGAAAUUUUGUUUCGUUUUCUUUAAAUUAAUUGAAUAUUAGAUAAUUACACGUGGAACGAAACUUAUUAUUAUACUGAAAAACAAUUUGCUCAGGAUGAAAUAAAAGGUAUUCUCUCAUAAUUAAUUGUUACUCUCUAGAAACUAGGAGCUUUCCUUUGGUGGAUCUUUGUAUAUCAUAAAGUUAUUUAUUUAUUCGAUGUUAAAAUGACAUAGAUUUGAUAAAUUAAAAAAAAAAUCAAAAUGUGACUAGAUACCCACCUUCCCCACAGAUAAUGAUUUUUUUUUGUCUUCAGGCCUUGUUUGAUACUGUAAACUAACCCAUAAUGGUCUGUAAUCUGCAUGUUCAUUUGGAUUCUUUUUUAUAGUGCCCUGGUUUGACUGAAAUUAAUUAUUACAAAGCUAAUUUUAAUUCAACAUAGUUCUCAUAGCUUUUUAACUGGUGUUUUGGACAACUAUGAAGGUUAAAUUUUAAUAUUUUUAUUUUAAAAAAAAUUACUUUUAACAUUAACAUAUUAAAAUGAUAAAAAACAUUAAAAUAUUAAUUUAAAAUAAAAAAUAUAUAUAUUUUUCAAAAACACCGUGGAAUCCUAGCAUCAAACACCCCCUUAAAAUAAUACAUGUGAUGCCAUAAAUAAAUAAAUAAAUAAAUAUAUAUAUAUAUAUUCUCCAAAUAACAAAUCAACAUUGAUCUUGUAUAUGUAAGAGAUGCCAUUGUUUCUGUUUUAGAAAUGUUUCCGAUGAGAACAAAGGAAUGCUCAGAGUAAAAUAUCACCUCUAAUGCAGUAGAAUCUGCAAAUAUUCUUUCCAUCCAUCUGCAUUUCUUUAUAGGGUAAACUUGUGUCUUUACACCCCGUUCAAUCUUCUAUGCUUUAUUUAUUUUGCUACAUCCAUGUGAAUCUUGCACCUCGCAGAUGCAAUGGCCGUGUCGUGUGCGAAAAUAACUUGUAAUGUGUGACAACAAGCUCUCUGUUAUCAAUUUAGAUUGAGCUAUCGUACAAGAUGGUGAGUGGAAAUUGGAUGGGAGAAUAAAGAGUGGUGAACCAGAGAUUUGUCUGGUGAGAAAACUGUGGCUGACGCAGAGGUUGAAGAGGGGGGUCUCACGGCGGAAAAUGCCAGAUCAAAGUGGACAAAAUAUUAACAAGUGGUGGUGGGCCAAUUUUGUCCAAUCAUUGAGGCCAUCCCGUGAAACUUCAAAGAGAAAUUUUGUCCAAUUGUUUCCAGGUUUUGACCCUAUGAAAGAAUUAUAGAUUUUGAUAUUUUUCUAGAAAAAGUCUGAUCCUUUUUUACCAUAAAUUUAUGUUGAAUUACUCAAUUAUGUUCUAAAAAAUAUGACUUAGUCCCCUUAUAAUAACAAAUUAUAAAGUUUUUUUUUUUACAUUCUGAAAUGUAUUGAAUAGUAUUUUUAUUUUAUUUUUUAAAAUAAUAAAAAAACACAAAAAAAAAUUAAUAAAAUAAAAUAAAAUUUCAUAAAAUAUCAUUUGAAACACAGUCUCAAAUCACGUCUUAUAAUAAAAUUAAAUCCACUGGCCAUUUCCUUAGAAUCUAUUUAGCUUUUCUCCCUUUUCCUUUUCUAACCUUUCUCCCCUUCGCACGCCAUACAUGUUUUUCCUUUAAUCAAUUGCCUCCAGACUUUAUCACUGCAAUCUUUUUUCGCCUGGCAAACCUGGCUUCUUUAACUGAAUCUUAAUUUAUGUUUUGAUUUUGGACAUAAAUAGUUUAUUGCCUUUAAUUAAUCAAAUUAAAAAAAGUGUCGGUGGAGGAAGAUAGGCAAGCAAGCCGUAAAUUUGAACACACGCGUCCAUGAUUCAUGCAUGCACUUCUACAGCAAUUGGGACUUGUAAACCCGGCAAACUCCUAGUUAAUAAAGCCUAUUGAAUCGGUGCGAGUGAACCAUUAAUAUUAGUAAUGAAAUAGCUUAUACUAGCUUUGAUACCCGCGCGAUGCCGCGAGUUCUUUUAAACGUGAUAAAAAAAAGAAUCACUAUUUGAUAUAUUUACUAAAGCUGGCUAUCGUCUUAAUUUAAAUUUUUUUUAAAUGAUUGUUUAUGUAGCUUGGAUUUAAAAUUAAACCAUGUUGAUACUUAUUUUAAUAUGAUCAAAUCAACUUGGCUAGUUCAAAUACAUCAUGAUAAAUCAGUAAAAAAAAUACAAGGAUGAAAUUGAUAUGAAAAACAUUUUAGUCCAACUACUUACUUAGUUUAUAUUUAAAAUUAAACCGUGUGAGUUUUAUUUUGUCAUUACUCAAUGAACUUAAUUAGUCUAAAGAUAAUAUGACUAGCCAGUAAAAAAGGUUUAAAGAUAUAAUUUUUUUUUUUAAAAAAUAUAAAGUUAAUAGGAAAAAAAACUCUUGACCUAGCUUAGGUUUAAAAUUAAAUCUUGUAAAAAUUAUUUCAAUUUAAUUUAGUCAACUUGAUCAUUUUAAAAAUAACUCACACUAUUAUUAAAAAAUAUUUAGAAAUAAUUUUUUUUUAAAUGAAUAAAAAAAAUAAAGGACUAAAAAAAAGGGAGGGGUGGGGGAAUUGGAAAACAAAAGGUGCAAGGAUGAAGAGCUUUAAUAUUUGUCUCGAUGUUAAUUCUCAAGCCCCUUUGUAUAGAAGUAGUAAUAAUUGCUAGCCUAGAGUCUAUUUUAAUUACUAUUAAUUAAUUGUGCAUUCUAUUUUAGCUUUAACGCUUCUCGGUACAGAGAAAAGAGACAGCCUCGUAAGUUUUCAAAUGUCGGGAGCCAUUGGGUUACGUGGUAAGGUUGAUUUUCUCGACGACGGUGAUGUGCCGCAAUCUAUCGGUAGAGUGGUUACCUCUAACUUCAGAAGUUUAGCAUAGUUAUAAUAAUAUUAUGACAUGACAUCAACGAGGUAAUGUUUGUUCUUUUAGAAUGUUUUUUUAUUUAAAAAUAUUUUAAAAAAAUUAAAUUUUCAUGAAAUACUACUUCAAAUGCAAAUUUAUUUCUUCUAUGUAAAUAGUUUACAUAGUCGGAGUGUUUUUUUUUUUAUUAUCCAAACUUUUAUAAAAUAUUCAUAUUAAAGGUCUGAAAAAUAAUUUUUUAAAUAUGCAUCAUUCUGAUUUUACACGACCUACUUAAGAAUACAAGAAACUUCAUGUUGAAAGGGGGGAGAAAAACCAUUAAAUUGUCCAUUUAUUUCCUCCCUUCAAGCAUUUUCCAUGAAUAACCAUGAAAUUUCUCGCCUCGGGUGGUGGCACUUGGAAGAGGUCAAUUACGGAUUAUUUGAAGUGCUGCUACAUGGGCCCGAGGAACUAUUAACAAAGACUCUCAUUAAUAGUUGUUGAAUUCAAGGGAGAAAUUAUAUUUUAAAUGUUUUUUAUUUAAAAAUAUAUUAAAAUAAUAUUCUUUUAUAUUUUUUAUAUUAUUAUAUUAAAACAAUAAAAAAACACUAAAAAAUAUUAAAUUAGUUUUUAAAAAAUAAAUAAAAAAUACAGUCUGACCGACAGUACCUAAGAUUCCAGUUGAAUGUGUUUACACUGUUCGCUUGUAGGUUUGGAACUGUGGAUGGUUCGAAGAAAAGAAUGACUCUGACAUGACAUGUAUCUUUAAAAAUAAAAAAAUAAAUAAAAUAAAUAAAAAAUCAGGCAUGGGUCGGUGGGUAUUAAAAGAGGGUCGCUACAGUAACAAUAGUGGCAAAAAGCUGUACGGGCAUACAUGGUUGGAUUUGAGUUUGAUGAUAUUUAUUUUUCUGCAUCAUUCAAGAAUGUCUCUGCGCUGUUGUUUUAUGUUUACUGAAAUUUCAUCGCUGCUAAAAAAGUGCCCUUUUUUUUCUAAAUAAACGAGGGCUUAAUUUAGAGUGCCAGCAUUAGUAAAUAUAGCAUCAGUUAUUUAGCGACACUGACAUUGUAGCAACCAGUAAGGGAGGUCGAAGUUACCUGUCUGCCAAAAAAACAAAAACAAAAACCACCCUCAGUGUUUAGGGCCUCCACGGUAGAAUUGCUAAAAAACCCAAGAACGAUUUUUUAAAAAAUUUAUCACAAUAAAUUAAAAGUUUUGAUGGAAUAUAUUUAAUUUAAUUUUUUUUUAUAAAAUAACAUAUUUUUAAGUUUGACAAGAUAAUUGUCUUGAUUUAGAAUAACAAUAUUUAAACAUGUCAUAUUUUUUAAGCAUGACAACUACUAACCAGUAAAUCGAUUAGAUACAGUUAUAUAAUUGGUUAACUGUUUCACGCAAAAACCAUGAAUCAACAAAUUUUUUCUUUUAAAUAUGUUUUAUGAGUAAAAAUAUAUAUUUUUAUCCAACUUAUAGACUAUAAGACAUACUCUAAUUGAAAUAUUAAAAAGUUAUUAUUUAUAUAGUAUUUCUCGCAGGUGAUUCUGAGCAAUCAAGUAUGGUCUUGCUAUAAUUUGAUGAGGAUUUGCCCCAAAUAAGUUAUGUAAAAAACUUAACAUGUGCAUUUAUAAAACAAUAGAACAUGUCUAGGCUCAAGAGGAGGUCUGGUCGCGUUAUAUCAAAAUAAUGGUUUAAAAGAACCAUGAUUUUUUAUCAAACUAUUGAAUCGCGCUCAAAUUUUCACAAGAGUUUCAAGAGAUCGCUUUCCUUUUAAAUAGCAUGUAAUUUCUAUUUCGACCAUUGAAUUUUUAGAUUUAAAAAAUCUCGUUUCGAGACCUUGAUUUCGGCAGUUUCUUUACAAACCGGUCAAUCGAUUAGUCCUGAAUUUAAAUAGAUACAGUGAUGGUAGACGGUGACAUCAAUUAUAAUUUUGCUAUGGCUUCUAAUAACGAUAUUCAAUUGAUAUUCUAAUAAUAAUAUUCAAUUGAUAUUGUGGUUUACUACUAUAAUAUUUAAUAAAAUAUCACAAUUUCCAGUGAUAACAUCUAAAAAUGUUAUUUUACCAAAAAAUUUUGCUUAAAUAUAAUUUCUCUAUUUAUUUGCACUUUUCAUGCUAAUUGUACAAUAUAUAUAUAUAUAUAUAUAUAUAUAUAUAUAUAUAUAUAUAUAUAUAUAUAUAUAUAUAUAUAAACAAACAAUAUGAAAGGUUCAUAAUUCUGUAGCCUCGAAGAACCACAUGCAGCUAGAGAUCGACCCAUGAUAGGAUCAUGUCAACUACUAGCCUAUUGCUCCUAGUCUACAAGACAUUUGACUUUUAGUACCUCGUCUCACCAACAGCAACUAGGCCUUGCACUGCUGCACGUGCAAGCCAUCGUAUAGCUUAAAAACAAGAUUGCGGACCCUGUUUCGAACGAUUUCCUUUGACUACUCAGAACUCAACUGAGCUUUUAACGAGUCAAUAAAUCUAUGCAGACAUAAACAUGGGCACGAGCCACGAGCACAAAGCAGAAUGCAUAGGCACGAGCGAAUAUUCAAGUACGUAUCUGAUAACAAGAUACAAAUAAUUGGAUGUUUUUAGUUUGUGUUUGGUAAUGAUAUGUAAAAUGAUUUUGAAAAGUAUUUUUUGAUAUCUUUUUAUAUAUAUAUAUUUUUUAUUUUUAACACUAACUUAUUAAAACCAUAAAAAAAACCUUAAAUACAUUAAGUUAAUAUUUUUUCAAGUAAAAACCAAUUUAAAAACACAUUCAAAACAGAAAUUACUACAACAUCAAAUCAACAUUUAGAUGAUUUUAAAAUUUUUAUAUCAAAACCAUUCAAAAACAUAAAAACUAAAUAAUUUCAGCCCAAACACACAUGAUCAUAACAGCCUUAUUGAUGUUUCGUCAAGGAAACAGUCAUGCAUACAUCACAAGCUAACAUUUGAAGAGUUUCAUUGCUGCUUUAGUUGGCCAGAGGACAUCAAUGAAAAUUGCAACCCCUUACUGAACUUUUCACAAGAAAACAAAAAUAUUAUUACACUUUCCUUUGAAAUUUAAGCAUUACUGGAUACAACAGUCGUUACACUAAAUUCUGGAAUUAGAACUCUUUGGUCGUUAGUUGCCUAUGACAAACCCUGUGACGACUCGGGAAUGAACCUCUUCGGCUACCUCUGGAUUCAAUCUAAUCAGUUAUCCUUCCAUACUCAACGACCAAACCAGGUCCUGCAACGAGAGCGUAUCAGUUAGACAGACAGCAGUAGCCAAGGGAAUGUCUCAACCUGAAAGGGAAGGAUAAAAAAUGAGUGGAUGGACGAGGAGAUCAGUUUUGCUUCCUGGCCAGAAUAGAGUUUCUUCUUGAAGAAAUCUCAGCUGCCCAGCUCUUUCCUAUCGCAGUUCGAAAUUUUCCUACAGAUAAAAGGGAUGUAUGAAUAUCAUGAACAAAAAUUUUGACACGGUAAAAUUAUAUAAUCAGAAAGCUCCGAUCGUAUGUAGUUUGAGAUGAACAAGUAGUAGAUUCUACCUGCUGCUGAAAAGAAAAACUCAUCCAACACCUUCCCUUGUUCUGUGAAAACAUGACAUCGAAUGAGAAUUCCUUGGAAGCGGAACAUUUAAUUUCAUCAGAUAACCUACCCAUUUCAUAUUCCAGUGCUCGCAAAAUCAUCUCAACCUAAACAUGAGACUCGGAACUUUAGAUUGCUAACAAAGAAUUGAACAUGGGAAGGGAUAUACAAAUAUAAAUGCAAAUCAAGUGCUAUAAGAAAAUGUGGUUUAUGGAUUUGCUUCAGGAGAGCGUAAAACUUCAUUGGUUUAACACAUUGAAGUUGAUUCCAGUAGAAGCUUUUUAUAGCAUUAACACUGGGAAGUUUUCCGAGUGAACAUCUAGCGAGAGAAAGGGAGUCACCAAACAUUUCAACAGCAACCGGUGAACAUAUUAAACACAAAUUGAGGAGGAUCACAAUGUCAGUGGAUGGAAGAAGUCCCUGGGCAGUAACCAAACUACUUUAACGUUUUUAUUUUAUUUUUAAUAAUUCCCUUAAUCCUUAACACAUAACGGCCAUCAGAAACAGCUUCCUGCAGCUUUUCCAAAAGACUGGUCAUCAAUAAUUCAAAAGUAGAUGGGGAUAUAUGACACACCUGGCAAACACAAUUGAUUUGAAUACUGUCCUGUGUUUCAAUGACUUUCACCGCACAUUGCAAUAGCAAGAAAAUCAAUUGAAGAAGCAUUUGGAACCAUAGACCUGUUCCUUUAUAGCAUCAUUCAAAAAUUCAAACUUUGUCAAAGUCUUCGACAAGGUUGGCCUCCAAGGAAGCAUUGUUUUCAUACUCUGCCCAUAACUCUUUGAUCUCUUCAGCUGAAAAAAUGAAAAUAUUUAGUUCCAGAAAACUCAAAGCUGAAACUGCUAAAAGUCAAGAUAGCAAGAGUCAGUAUUUGAGUAACCCUCAGUCCACCAAGAACUCAACACAUUUCAUUUAAAGCCGCUUGCUCCAGCCUACUCUUUUCUUGUUUAGGCACACCAUUUGAUAUUGUUAUAUCUCCAACAAUAGCUAUCAAAGUCCAAAUCCCAACUCAAAAUUCAAAACUCCAACAAAAUAUAUGUGCAUAUUUUGCAAAAGUAAAACACAAUAAGCUCAAUUAGAUAUAUAAAAAGAGAACUAUUACAAACAUGGAAUAGAAUCCCCAAUCAAUGCUGUUGUUGUUGUAGGGCUCUUCUCCCAUUCUACAAUCAUCAACAAUACACGAUUCUGAUUUCUGACUGCAAAACAAAUAUUUGCAGACACACAUUGUUCUCUUACUCAUUAGGUGUAAGCUUGGGUAUGCUCUGUGGACUAUUAUGGCUUUGGAGCAUCAACUUGUACGUUUUACUUUUAUGGCCUGACAAGAGUCAAAUAGUGACAAAUUAACAGUGUCAAAUGUGCUCAUGAAACACAUUGAUAUCUGCUCUCCUAAUUUUUAGCCAAAAUUCAGUUUUAAGUGAGAGAUCUAUUCUCCAAUAAUUUAGUCCAUUUUUUUCCUGAGGUGGUGAUCUAUUCAUGACAUGCCAAGGCUGAAGCAGUACAAGUAAAACAUCGAGCCAUUUAUGCAGCAAGGAGCUAUUUUCAAAAAAAAAAAAAAAAACAUUAUGGAUUCAAGAUAUGAUUUUGCUUACGCAAAAUACCAUAACCCCGCGCCCCCACAUAGGCCCAUACCACCACCAAAUCCAUGCCCUAUACAUUCUCAAAGAAUCAUGUAAAUUUCCAUUAGAGCAUAAAUGAACCUGUAUCAAUGGAAAUAACAUAUCAUUUAUCAACCAUAUUGAUCAAUUAAAAGAAUCCAACAUAAUACCAUCUUUUUCUACCAGUCUACUCUGUCCAAAAUACGAGGCAACCAAGUGUCGCUCAAAGCUAAUUUAAGUGGUAAAUUUGCAACAAUGGCUUGUUUUAAGAAUGAAAACUACAGGAAUACAUUAGGUGACUUUUUUAAGGACCUGUAAAUUAUAUGGGUGCUAGAUACAGUAUCAACAAGUAGAGUUAAUCAGAUAUCCAACACCAUCCUGCCUCUAUUCUCCUCAAAAGACAAAAAAAAUGAUUUAGUCUAAUAGCAAAUUGAAUCUCUGGUUUCUCUCUUCUGAUUGAUAACCCAAGACUUUCCUGUUUGAUUAAAGCCCAAUAAUCUUCCCUUGUAUCUUAGCAUGGCAUCAAACCAUUUGUUUCCAAUUAAUCAUAACAUUUAUGUAGUUAAAUCAUUUAUAAAUUGGUCUAUUCUGCCCCAUGAUUCAAGAGUGUAAAUACACACAUUGACUUUCUUGAAAGUGCACACAAAGAAAGAAAAACACAAGUCUUCUCAUGAUAUAAACUGUUUAACCUUUCUGAGUUCAGCUUUUCACAGCGAACUAAAACAAUCAUCAGCAAUCAGAGCCAUCAAUGACACACUGUACAUAUGGUCAGCAAUUGAUUCAGGACCCUUUAUCCAAUGGUUGAUCCAUCCCUUCAGUUUUGUGAUCUGAGAGAGAGAGAGAUUAGACAUUUCUAAAAUGUAAUCUAGACCUUUACCUACAUCAGAUCAGGCUCACAUAGAGUAAAAAGGCAAGAAGAAAAAAAAAUCAAAUGAGAACCAAAUAUUUUGCUCAUGAUCAAAGCAAAGAGAAGUGCAACAAAAAAAACAUUAAGAAGCAUAUGUAUACAAGGCAUAAAUACACAAGCACGUACGCACCCAUGGUAUUUGAAAAACAAAGGAAAGGAAUACUGGCUCCAACCUCUUUCAGAGUUGCUUACAGGUGAAACAAGCAGAACUUCAAGGGGCUUUUGUACCAUAAUAAGCCACUUGAAAUCUUGAAUAUAUGUUUAUCUCAUGUAGCGGAGACACUAAUUCUAAAACACAUUACAUUGUCAAGGCUGAGAAUUUAUGAUGGAGAUUUCAAUUACAGGUACAGGGGCCACUCGAUUUCCAUCAUGCAAGGUUUCACUAUAAUUCUUAAAGCACAACAACAGUAGUCUGGUAAUCUCUGCAGACCAAGCUAGAGCAUAAUUUGCAUAAACUCAUCGGUGAGAACACUUAGUACAGCACAUGCACAUGGAUUUAUGGUAAAAUGGGAUGCCCUUAAAUGCCAGUUUUGAAGUCCUACUUAAUGUAACAAACACAAUAAUAUCCAAUCUUUGCACUGACCUUCAUACACAAUCCAAUCCAGUCCUGACAAACUAAUCAACUAGAAGGCAACUCAAUAAUUACUCUCCUUUACUCCAACAAUAUCAACAAAUUUGCUUAAGCUUAUAGUCCUUACAAUUUGGAAAGCCAAAUCGCUGCUAACUUUUAGGGAAUAAAAAAGUGAAUAGAACAAGAAUUGGAUGAUCUUGUUCUUGCAUUGAUUUCUAACCUAAAAUCAUGAUUUCUUAAUCAAUCACAGACACAAAUUAUCUGCUCUAAACUGGAAAAAGAAACCCCAUUUCAUAGUUAACAAGAAAAAGGUGAAAGCUUUUCCAUUUCCCAAUCUAUAUUCUAAGAAAAGAAAAGCAAUCCUUUUCCCACUCUCAUUCAUACCUUCAAUCGAUGGCACAAUGUAGGGAAAUCAAUAGCCGAUGGAGCUGAUGAGUUACCCGUCAUAGAUUCGGACUCCUCAACGGAUCUCAUGGAUCCUCACCCUUCCGAAUUAAGCUUUUCUCAGCGAACUAAAACGAUUCUUGGGUUCGGAGCUUCGUAUAAGAAAAUGGGCUGCCUCCGUUUAAAGAAAGCAAGGGAGGAGCGAGUAGGUGAGGUGAACUCAGUGGAGGAGUACAGUGAGCCCGUGUAUUAACAACCAUUAUUUUUUUUAUGUUCGGUUUUGUUCGGUUUCCGUUGUGUUCUACUUGGUCUCAGACACCGGAAAAAGAAUGUCCUCUCUUUAACUCGCUGUCACUCCUGCAGACGCCCACUGUAAUAGGGAAUCUUUCAUACCUUUUUUUUUUUUUAUCUCCCUCUUCUUUCUUUUUAAUUUAAAUUCUUAAAAAAAGACAGAAAGAAAUUGUUUCAUAUCGAUUUUCUAUUGACGAGCAACAAAAUACAUUGAUCAGCUGCGUAUAUAUAUAGGUAUAAUCUGUAUCGACAUUGUAGUGUCGCGUAACUGUGAAAUUAAUUAUUAUCGAUUUAAAAAUUGGCAAUUAUGUGGACUGAGAGCAUCAUUUUUAUGAUUAAGUUUAAUUUUUAUGCAAAAGAAUUAUAAAAGAGUUUAUAGAAAAAUAUGGUUUGUCGGGAUUGUCAAUCUGGCAAAGAUACAAAUACAAUGAAUGCGGAGACGCGCCAAUCCAGUGAACCAAUCCCGCUCAUUCAUCGACUUGUCUUUUAAGUUACAAUCGAGUCCCCAAGCGUUGAAGAGAUUCACAAGUGGAUCCUUAUUAGUUUCCCUCGCCAGUUCUAUCGUCAACUAAGGCUCCGUUUGUUUGCAGGAAAGUUGUUUCCUUUUAGAAAGUGAAUUCCGGGAAAAUAUUUUCUGAUAUUUGGUAGUGUUAUGGAAAAUGAACUGGAAAACACUUUCCAGUGUUUGGUUAUGUUAUGGAAAAUGAACCGGAAAAUAAUUUAUUAAUGAAUUAAUUUUUUUUUCAAGUUUAUCUAAUAUAUAUUAAAUAUUUAAUAUAAAUAUUUAAUUACUUACAAUAAAAGAAUGAAAUCUAAAAAGUAUAAUGAUAAAUUUUUUUUAUUAUAUCUUAUAUUCAUACAUAGCUUAUUUUAUAAAAUAUAACUAUAUAUGUCAUAUCAUAUUAUAGAGAAAUAAGCUUGUGAAAUAUUUUUUAAGUUAAAUAUUUUUUUUUUUAAUUUUAAAAGCUUAAAAUAAGUUUUUUUUUUCAUAUGAAGAAAGCCAAAUUAGUUUAUGGUAAGAGUUAUAUAUUACAUUAGAUUAACAACUAUUUUAAUUUUAAUUUUUGGUCACUGGGAACCAAUUAAAUUUAAUUUAGAAACAAAAAGAUUACAAUAAAAUGAUUUAUAAAAUCCUUAUGUUUGGAUGCUGGGCCACCCACCCCCCUAAAAAAACAAAGAAAUCAUCAAAAGUCAUAAAACGUUCACAUGUUUUGUGAACAAAGGAAAGGAAAGUGUUUUCCUUAAAAUAAGGAAAGGAAAACACUUUCCUGGCUUAAAGUGUAUUAUCUUCCUUUGACCGGAAUUUGGAUUCCUUUGACUAGUUUUCCUUAUAGUUGUCAAACAUGGGAAAGUGGAGAAAAUAGUUUCCAGGAAAAUGAAUUCCUGGAAACAAACAAGGCAUUAAUUACAUGCAACCGUCCACUACUUUUGAAUUAAAAAAUCUCCAUAACAAAUCCCGAGGGAUGAGAUUUAUUGGUCAGGUUCUAGAUUUGUUCUCUAAAUAUUAUCAGUUCGAAUCUCACAAAUUUCAGGAUCACUAAAGACUUACAUUAUUAUUAACUUCAGGGCCUAUAAAAUUAAUCAAGAUACAUAUAAAAUAGCCCGAAUACCAAUGUUAAUAAUAAAAAAAAACAUCUCAGUUCCUUUUCUACAAGACCCUCCUAAAGCCUUUAUAAAUUUUCUCUCCUCAGAUAAUCAGUCAGUGUAUGCGAAAGAUAAAAGAAUAUCUUUCGCAGAUAACGACAACUAGACAUCUUGAUGUACCUAACGAGAUACAAGCUAUAAAAGAAUAGAUUAGAUUGGUAGAAAAGCAAGCAUCUCAUCAAUGAUUCAUCCUUUUUUACCAUAACAGUUGGACCCAUCUAAUCAUCCAUAAAAUAAACAAAUUAUAACGGAAAAUAGAUUUGUUAUAGAGCUAAUGCUGCGUAAACUUUUUUGAAUAACAAAUUAUACUGGGAGGUUUAAUUUAUAUGGAACCCUUGACAUUUCUAUUACUUUUGCAAUUGUUUUUGACAGUUAGAAUAAAAUUGCUAUAAAUAAAAGCUACAGAAUAUCAUUGCAACAAUUUGCUUUUUAGAAACUAAAAUAAAAUUGCUGCAACAAGUUACUUGGAUGAUGAGGACAGGUUAAUGGCAUCAAAAUACUGUACGUUCCUAGCAUCCAAGUUUUUAAAGUUACAAAAGGAAAAACUACUUUUCCGACAUAAAACUUGUUUUUUUUUUUUAAUGUAAAUCAGAUAAACCUCAAAUAAGCAUCUAACUACUACUUGACGUGAUCAGACCAUCAGCCCUGGUUUGUCAUGUUUAGCUUAAGUAGCUGAAAAGCAGUGAUUUGGAGGUGCUUUUGCAAUUAGUUUGCAAACGGGCCCGUAAAGAUUUGGUGACUUGUCUUCAUGAAGAAGGUGUAUUAGAAGUCGGAAUGGCAGAAGUGAUCGUGUUGCUAGGCUUGAGCAGUACAGUAUAGUAACAUGUUCAUCUUAAAAUUCUUCGACGCCGUCGAAAGAGCUUCACACCAUACACUAGCAAGUAAUUAACAUGUUCAGUUCAAAAUAAGGAAAACGGCUCUGUUUUACUUUGAGAUUUUUUGAUCAAAACGUUCUAUAUGCAGGAGAGCUUGGUCUCAAACUUUCACGAGGCCUAAUGACGUCGAAUUCUCUAUCCAUCUUUCAGAUUUUGUUCAAUAGCAGAAAAGGGAGGAAAAAAAAAGCAAAAGAGAGAGAAAGGAAACUAAUUGCACAGAAGGUUCAAAACGAUUUGUUCAACAUUAGUUCUACCUGUUUGGUACUAUAUUAGUUAUGUCUACUGGGGCAAUAUUGAAUUAGAAUUUUGUUUGCGUGGCUUCUUUUAUUAUUCGGCACAUAGUUUGUUUUGCAAUUUCUGUUCUGCUGUCUUUUUUUUUCUUUUAAUUGUUCUUCCGUUAUUGUUAAUUUAAGAUAAAAACAAGGGAUUUUCUUGGAAACAAAGGCAAGGUCAAUAAUUAUUAAGUCAAUUAAUAUAGACUUGCCGAAUCUCCUUUGCUAGAACCAGAGGCUAAAGCAGAGAAAAAGAAGUAGCAGAUCAACAAUAUCGGCUACGGACAACAGGGCAUUAAAUUAAUGAACAAAAUUUGGAGUGCACUGUGCAAGACGAGAAUCCUAAAAAUAGCUGCAUAACAGCGAAACCCCAUCUUGAUAAAAGACUUGGCCUUUCCAUGGCAUGAAGCACCUACAGAACUAGAAAGAGAUCUCCUUUUCUUCAACAGCACACCAUUUUGAGUAUGUCGGCACUCUCCGCCUCUCAUCUGAACAUAUCCGUAGCCAUAUUCCACAGACAGUAGCGGCAGUAUGCCCAGAAGCACAAAAUAUAUAGCAGAAGACAUCAUGUAUAGUACAGCGCUUGAAACUUCUAACUGGCGAAAGUUUUGGAGAAUACAGAGAGAUCACUGAAGAACUAGACAUGUAGAAACCUCACCAUGAACAGUGAAAGAAGAUUUGUGGCUUGUGAUUAUUAGCAGGAAAUCACAAAAGUAAACGAUCAUGGCCAACUUGACAGAAGCAAUAAAUCUUGAAACGUAGUAAAGAAAAAUGAAGCAAAUAAAUCUUGAAACGUAGUAAAGAAAAAUGAAGCAGUGUAGACAGCAAAUGAAGUGAACCCAAAGGCCAAACCCAUGCAGAAACAUCAACACUAGAGUAGGGCAACGCAGAAACAUCAAAACCAGCAGUAUGUCAGCUAUAGAUUGACCAGGUUUGAAGUUUCUCAUCACCCAAAAGAUGAUUUGGAGCAUAAUGCAAUAGCAAUAGCAGUUUAGAUUGCAGAAAAGUCCGAACAGAACAGUGUAAUUGCCGAAAAAAUUGCUUUUUUUUUUGUCAGCCUGAUUGGAAGUGCAAAGAACAUGUAAACCAAAAGCAGAUAAAAACAGCCAUAUGAUCUACCAGAGAUAAACUGGGGAACCAGUGCAGCAAAAUGAUGGAGAAUCUGAGAGUAGCAGCGUUAGUCAUAGGCAACACACUGUCAUGAAUAUUAAGCUUCUUGUCCCCUUUGCCCACAAAUAUUUAGAUCACAGAACAAUAAUGAUCGUCCAAUCCAAAUAUGGUUAUUCUCAAGAGACUUCAAGAUAAGCCCGUCUUCAGAUUUUGCAGGAAGCAUGCGCGUGUUUUUCUCGGAACACUUUCUCAAUUUUUUAAUUAUAAUUUUUUGUUAUAGAUCUUUUAUAUAAUUGACCUUUUUCCGGUGUUAUUUUUUUGGGUAAUUUAUUAUUUAUAUAUUUUUAAAAUUUACGAGCUUGUAAUUUUCUUUGGGUAAAACAUUUGGGUUGUCAAAUGACUUGAAUUACUCGAUUGGGUAAAACAUUUGGGUUGUCAAAUGACUUGAAUUACUCGAUUGGGUAAAACAUUUGGGUUGUCAAAUGACUUGAAUUACUCGAUUGGAUAAAACAAACUGGGUAAAAAAAUUUCAUAUAAUCACUUCAAAUUGCGAAUUUAAUUUUAUCUAAAUUAUUCGAAUGCUCAUUCUCAAAUAACGGUCUAGCAAUAUUAAAGAGAAAAAAAUAAAUUAAGCUCAGAUGCACUGGAAUCUUUUCUGCUGGGAAAAAUCAUAGGUUAGUUAAUUGUAUGGUUGUUGAGGAGUUGCGUAAUCGCCUGACAUCGAGUCUUGUACAUGUGCGUGAUGCAUGGAAAAUUCUCCAGAUGCAUGGAAAAUUCUCCAGGAGCUUCAUCUGUAGUUUUUAAUAUACACGCAUUGUGAAGGUUCGACCUUCUGUGGGUCAGAAGUAAUUAUUCUUUUAUUUAAAGAAGACCUUUUUGGAUAUGCGUGGAUGCUUUCGCAUCACCAAGAUUAGUAUAAAUUUGAAUUUUCAAUAAUACUUGUUUUACAUGCCAGAGAAUGCUGAAAUAUUAUUUCUCUUAUAAAAAUGUUAUUUCUUAAAAAUAUUAAAACUUCAGUAACAUUAUUCAUUGCAUUAUUUUUUUCACUAGUUUUUUUUCAAAUCUAUAUUUUUUCGAUUUACUUUCUACGAAAUUAUCCUAAUUUCAUAACCCGUGAAAUGAAUUUGACGAGUUCAUCCGGAUAAUAUUUUUGUUUUUUCAAUUCAAUCCUUUAAUAUUAUAUUAGUUUAGAAUCGUUAAUGUUAGUUUUAGAUUUUCUUCAAGUCGACUAGGUCAUAUCAUAUUGUUAAAAUAGUCGUGUAUCAAAUAUAUUAAAAGCUCUUCUAAAUAACUUUUAUAAUUAGAGUGCACAUGAACUAUAUUUAAAAAAUAAUAAAAAAUAAUAUUAUCAAUUUAACUAUUCUAAAUAACUUCUAGCGUUCGAGAUGCUCCUGAUAGCUAUUGCCCCUGAAGAUGCCCAGAACCUAGUGAGCUACAAAGAUUAGGCAGUGAAAGAAUCAAACGUGAAGCUUCGAGCAGCUCCUAAGUCAUAUCUAAAAUCAAGUCAUGGUACAGAUAAAACUUGAUAUCAAAAGUCAAAUAAUCAGAAUCACCUUCUGAUUAAUUGAAUAUGAAUUUAUUGUAUUUGGAUAGUGUAAAAAAUCUAACAAAUAUAUAUUCAACAAACUUGAAAAGUAUUAGGUUAUCAAAUUACUUUUAACUCAGUCAUCAAAUUUUACUAGAAAAUUCAACAAACUUGACUCUCUGAUCAGUUUAUAUAAGAAGUAAUUAACACAACUCUUUUAAUUAUUAGGUUCAAGAUUUUAAUACGCUGUCGUUGUUCCCAGGAGCACAGCCAGUGGAGGUGUG
RNAcentral lists this long non-coding RNA (54478 nucleotides) under Populus trichocarpa (black cottonwood). RNAcentral describes it as "long non-coding RNA (PTRI_LNC002546)". Lineage: Eukaryota; Viridiplantae; Streptophyta; Magnoliopsida; Malpighiales; Salicaceae. The record is from RNAcentral.